Non-coding RNA from Xyrichtys novacula (pearly razorfish), 49408 nucleotides. The record is from the annotation of a GenBank genome assembly. NCBI's taxonomy places the organism in Eukaryota, Metazoa, Chordata, Actinopteri, Labriformes, Labridae.
CUUCUGUUGGAAAUUAGCUGGAAGACAAAGAAGCCAUGUGUUGUGACAGGGCAUGCUUACUGUACCGGUGUGGUUGGGAUUUCCGGUGCACGACCUUCUGGGCAUGGCUGCACAGGUAAUUAAAGCUCAUUUGGAUUCUUUCUACAUCUCUGCUGACAGCGCUGUUUGGGGCAAGACUUUAGGAGACAAAAGUAGUUUGGCAGAUUUUUAUUUGGCUCUGGGGCUGAUGUGACUCCAACCGAGAAAGACAGGAAGAGGAGAGAAAGAGGAAAGGAAGUUGGACAAAACUCGGAUGUGGAAGAAGUGUGUGUGUGUGUGUGUGAAUGGAGAAGUCAGGAGAGUUUAGGGGGCAGUGUGUUUAAGCAGAGAUAGGCAGCAGCCUGUACAGGAGGCUUUGUGACCUACAUUGAGGUGGGAAGGGCUGAUAAAAAGAGAAAAGGAGUUAGAGACAGGGCAAGCAGAGGAAAGAGGAGAAGGAAAAUAAGAAGCAGGGAAAAAAGUAGGGGACAAAGCGGCCAGAGAUAGAGGUGAAAGAAAAACGAAAGGUAAAUAGAGGGAGAAGGGAGCAGGAGAGGAGAAAUCCAAGGGAAAGAAAAAAGGAAGCAGGCAAAAAAAAAAAAGAAGAAGAAAAAAAAAAAGAAAAGUGUUGGGUUUCAAAUCCAGCGCUCCCGACAGUAGCAUGCCAGAUGACCUUGGGCAUGUCACACUGCCAUCUGUUCCCUCUGUCUGGCCUGUCAACAUACCUCUAACUCCAGUUAAAACAUGACAUUCCAGCUUCUUUACACACCGAGGGGCAGCCGUCGUCACCCCGAGUGAGCAAGAUAGAGAGACACAUACAGAGAAAGAAGAGAGGAGAGAGGGCGGGAGUGACGGAGAAUCCGUAGAGACAUCAUAAGACGUGGGGAGGGAGGGAGGGAAGGAGAGAGAGAGAGAUAUAGUAGGCAGAAGAAAAGAGUGACCUUUUCUCCAACAGCCCGUCUUUAUGAGCUGAUAUUGUUAUCAAUGUAUUACUCCCUGGAUGGCCACUACAGCUACAAUAACGCCAUUGAACCGACAGUCCAUCAUCAUAGGACAAAGAGGGGCGCUAACACUGACAUCCUAUGGGGCAUUGGGUUGCAACUGAUUGCACUCGUAAAUGAGCGUGGCUCUCAUAAAAUCAUGUGGUAACUGCUUAGCGGUGCACAGGGUGAUGGCUUUUGUUAUCAACAGCUCGAGUGGCGCUCGCAGGUUGCCUGUUUGUUGUAGCAUCAGACUUGCCGGGUCGUGAUUUCAGAUGUGGAGCUAAUCAUGCAUCAAGUGAAAUGUGUUAGCACAACACCAAAAGCAGCAGUGGAAUUAUUUUUCCAAUUUUUGUUGGCUUUUUUUUUUUUUUCACAAUUUAAUCUAGUAUUGGAAUUAUCUAAAAGCAUUUACAUUUUUCUCUCUUGUUCCUUUUUUCCUGUCGUCACUUGGAUAAGGUUUCUAAAAGAGUAGGCAGUGAAAGACUUAUUCCGGCAGCUGGAAAAAUCAGAGCGCUGAUGGGUUUCGAUCUUAGCGAGGAAGAAGGCUCCCAAGGCGGCAGAACACAUAACUAUCCCUGGAUACAUGCUUUUUAUAUGUGGCACUAAAUACUCAUUAAUUCCUAAUGACAUGAGCUGGAUGUUAGCUUGGCAGAAUCAUGAGGUUGCAGACAUGAAACGAUGUUUAGCAAAAUUAUAAAUAAACAAAAAUAAAUAUGAAAGAGUAGGAUGAUUUUCCACAUCCCUUAAUACAGCUGCAGCAUAUAAGUAGAGUUUUCAAAAAAGGGCAAAAAAGUGGGACAUGUCGACGCUCAAACUGAGUUUCCCUUCUUCCAGAGGUAUUAAAAACCGUCUCCAAUAGGUUUUUAAAUUCAUUACACUUAUCACUGUAGGACCACCAAUUACUUUCCCAUUUUAAUAAGCGGAUUCAGGCUGUCUCCCUUUGCUCUUAUGCAACAUUUUAGGUUUGUUGACCCACAGUCAGAGUCACAUUUACCAAGAGACAGAGGGAUUUAGAUUCCUAUCAGGUUUGAUAUUGCUAAUGAGUAGUUGGAGCGAGCUGCACUAUCCAUUACCAUUGUGUUCACAGGUGUUAUUUUCACAAGGAGGGCUUUAAUGCAGCCUGCUAAGUAACCUAACUGCAAUGAAAAUGUGGUAUAUUUGGACUGCUACCUUUCUGUGGGAAAUCAAAGCUGACUGUACAGAGAGGGAGCAGAGAGAGAGAGAGAGGGAGAGAAAGUUGUAAACUGGGUCAAGAAGAAACCUUGCUGCAAAAUGAGCAAAUCUGUAAAAUAAUCCCUUCAACUGCAAGCUCACUACUUAAAACCACCACUGAGCUCUUAUUUGGUUUUCUCUUCCUCUCUUAAUGUAUUCUCUUCAGUUCCUGAGAAAGUUCAAUUUCUGCUGCCAAGUGAGGUGACAUGCCACACUGACACUAAAGAACAACUUCUACAAAAAGCAUGAAGGGACUGGGCCAAAAACCAGAGAGAUAAUGACACCUGUGAGCAUAUUCCCCGCCCUAUUCUGGAUGGAGUAAUUGCAUUUUAAGUUGCAGACUUGAAAGAAUUCAUUGUCUGUGGUUUCCACAUUUCCCCUCACGUAACCUCAUGCCCUACAAAACAACAGCAUACUUUCCCUGCAGCCCUUACGGGAUUAGGGGAGGUAAUUCUACAAAGACCAGGCCUUGCUCUCGCCUCCUCAUCCUUCGCUGACUGAUACGUAAGGGAAGUGGGACCCUGACCUACUCCUGACUCUGGGAAAUUGCUCUGACCUCUCUGCAUUUUUGGGAGGAAGCCAGACCUGGCACAUACGUGCCGGGGUGCUGGGGCAGCCUCCUCUGACCCCAAGGACCUUUAGCUGGCCGAAACCCUUUCGGCCAUUUAUUCACAUGAACACACACACACACACAGGUUGCUCCUGUUGGAUGGAUUGUGUUACCUCUUAGAUGUGAUGGCUGCCUCUGUUUUGCAUCCUCUCACCGUUUUCAUCCUGGGAGCCUCGUAUGCCCCAGUCAUUAACACCACUAGCCUCCCUGUUCUGGCAGCUGAAAGGUCUGCAUUCAUGAGAGCCGUCCUGGAAACCAGAUGUGCCCACGCUGUGAGAAUAUGUGUGUUUGUGUACAUGCUUAUAGGCAGUGGAUACAGCAAUAUACAGAGUGUUUUGGAGCUGCACAUCAGGCUGUGUGUGUGUCUGUGUGGGAGUGACUGAGGCCCACAGGACACUCAUGGUGCACAGGUCACCUCUAAAAAAAGGGGGAUCUGGGGUUUGAGGACCCCAGACACCUAAAGACAUAUCCAAACAUACUGGUGUAAUUGUGUGUAGUUUACUUUUUUUGAGUGUUCAGAACUCAUCUGAUAUGAAACCUCCCAAAUUCUUAGACUUCUUUUUAUAGACGCUUUUAUAUUUUAUGAGAUUUGCUUCCCAACAAAAACAACUACCAAAAAACAAAUAAGAAAACAACAUAUUGCUCCACUUUCCCAAGAGUCAUCCAGACUUGCAGAUAUUUUCAGUUUCAUUUGCCAACAAUUUUUCAGAUGUCAUGCGCUGAGAGAGCCACUAGAAAACAGUCCCUAAUGAAAACUGGGGCCAGCAGGGUCUGUGGAUUGCAUGAAGUAACCAGGCUAUUGUUUCCAGACAGACAUAUUGCUGAUGAGGCUUUCAAAUAUAAUAGCAUUUCAAUAGUGUGACGGCAGAAUCCCAAGCAGCAAAUAUCUAAAAACCACAGCAAAUCAAACCCAGACCUUCUCUACGUCGUGAAAGUUGGGGGAAAAUUCUUGUCAUUUCAGAAAACUAAACAUUUCUAUAUGAUUAUAUAUUGGGAAACAUUCAUGCGUACACUGUGAAUGAGUAUGAAUAUAAAAAUCCAACUCUGACAGUUUUCCUCCCAUCAUAAUUUUUUCUAUUCACCUCCACAGAAUCCGUAAUAUUUAUAAUUUUUAACCACUAUGAUUCCCCUAAAUUCAGUCUGUGGAAGAUCGCAGGGAAAUCUUCACCGCUUAAAUGUUAUACCUGGGAAAUACAGAUGAACAGAAGUUAUUAAACACACCAUAGGAUGCCAUGAAAUACAACUAUCGGCUUUAAUUAGGGAGCUUUAAUUCUCUUCUUUAAUUCACUUUUCCAAAACAUAUCUCGCAGUGAAGAUGCCAAAUGCUACCAAAGAGUCUCUGCCGCCCACUAAAACACAAUGCUACUGCCAGGGCUUCAACUAAAUGAAAAUACUGAAUAUGUUUCAGGGUCAAUCAUUUUCUUCCUGUGAGAGCCCCGCAAACACAGACAGAGCUGAAGUAGCAAUCCAUUUUGACUAAGUCACAAAGCCUGUCAUGUAAGACUGUAUAAAGCAGUGGGCCUAUUCCUCAUGUCAGUGGCUGCUCACUCAUGGUAAGGACAAAAGACAUUUUAUUCACAUUUAGAAGGACAUAAAAGGUCUGUAAUGGCAGCCAAACAGGAACUGCACCCAGAGUUACUCCAAAGGACCAUCUUUGUUUUUAAAUUUUAUUUUCCUUGAAGAUUUUCUGCAAUAUCACUUGAGUAAUUCUACUUUUCCAGUGCUUUUGGUAAUAUCAAGCCAAGGCAACUGGGAAGCCAUUUUCAGUGGAUGCGACACAAAAACAGUGCCUUUGGAUGGGGGAAUAGCAAGCCCCUUAGCCCAUUUGGGCCGGUACAGUCACAAAUAUAUUCCCUCUAUUCCAAUUUUCAUGACCACGGAAAUCCUUACGCAGGAGACAGCUUCAUUAUUAGCGCGCCUUGCACAGAGCUCAAUGGCAGGAUAUUGCAUAGAGAAGCAUAUAACAGCCGAGCAAUUUGAGUUGGGCAGCUGGGCAUGCAGGUAUUGUAAUUUUAAUUCCCUUCUCUAUUCCCACGCCCUGUACAGUGGGCUGUUGUUCCUUUCAAAGGAAUGUAGGUAACAUUUCUCUGAAAAGAGCUCUAUGUGCUGAAACUAUGAGGUGUACAGCAAGGCAGAAAAGCUUUUUUACUUAAAUUAUGGACCACUUGUAGCACAUUCGCUGUUUCCACUCCACAUUCAACUCAACAUUCAAAUUCAGGCUUAUCACAUGUGGACUUUGACAAUAAAGAGAAGAAAACACCUGCUGAGUGUUUCUUUUUUUGUCCCGGUUGAGUGCACAGUUGCAGAGAAAAAUAUUUUACCGGUACCUUUUAACCUUUUAAGAAGUUCAAAGCAAGCGUCACCUAAAACUGUAAGCUUUCUUCUUUAUCUUGAGUAUAUUUUAAUACACGAGAGCUUCAGCUUCCAUCCCCACAUUUGUGGAGUAAAAUGCCUCCCUGUUAUCCUCCAUCUAAAUGGCCAUUAGCUGGACUAACCUAAUUAGUGGAACAAGAUCUAACACAGCCUUCCAUUGUCCUUCCAUCACAGGAAACAGUAGAGGUUUGCUGCAUUCUGAUCAAAUGUAUGGUGAUUAAUGACCGCGCUCUCACUAUGUUGACAGGCUGUAACGGCUCAAAAUCUCGCCCCACACUGAUGCUACACAUAUUUGUCUGUAUAACUGACACUUGAAGGAAUAAAUUGGGCAAAAGCUCCAUCACCAACCUGGCUACCUAUACCCAAAUUUUCCCCAAAUGAACAACGGGGAGUGAGAUGCUGUCAGGACUGCGUUCCCUCCAUGACAUGCCAAUCUAUGCAUUGGGAAUAAUGACAGGGCUAAAAAUAUUAGACACUCGCCAGCAAAUUGCUUAAAGGUUUUUUUAAUUAUACGGAUGAGCUGUCGAGCAGUCAUGCUUGACAGAGUAUAGAAACAAAUGAUGUAAUGGCUGAAUGAGGAAGAGUUUGGUGGGCACAACCACAAGAAGCUCCUGACUGUCAGGGGCGAGUUUAUAAAAUCUUCAACAAACAAUAUUCUGUUGUAUAUAUUUGACCCAAAUACAAGGAAAAGAUUCAUUUUGUUUUUGCCUGUUCUUAGUAAAAGAAAGGAAAGGCCAAAAGUUCUGGCUGAGCUGUUCAAAUCGAAGGCAAGUGGGUGAAAUGGAUAAAAUGCACAGCAGGAAGCAUGUCUGUGUAUGUGGGUCAUUUUCUCGGCCUCAAGCAUGUUUUAUUUACAGUCCUCUCUACACACAACACUUGUGCACUGAUGCUAUAAUGCUGUGUAAGACAUUUUUGAUUCAGGAGCGAAAAACAUGAGCUCAUGGAGAUGACUUAAACAGCUUAAAUCAAUUAGAGAAAGAAACGCAGCGGUCGUAUCACAUCUUUCUUCAAGAUUACAGGUUGAUUUGCAUCAAGAUAUAAGGGAAACACAAACCCAAAUAGUAUAAAAGACUGAUGAUCUGUGCUACAGGAGAAAGAGCAGAUUUAAAACAAAUACAAUAAAAGGAAAUAUAUGAGAAUAGAAAAGACCACAGCAACGAAGUCAGACAGAGAGAAACAGGGGAAUAGAAGGAAGAGAGAGAGAGAGAAAGAGAGAGAGAGAGAGAGGCUCUCAGCCUGUGAGGUGCAUUUAAAUUAUCCCCAUUCGAAAAAAAUAGAAAGUUGGAAGCACUUAUCAAGCUAUAAAUCUCCAGCCCAGGAAUUAAAAAAAGUAAAAAAGAAAUAACAAACACCAAACGUCAUGCUGCUUUGAAUGUCUGCCGUCUUUCCCCCACACGGCAGGAGUUCAAAAGAAUAAUAACUUUGCCCUCACUCAUCACCACCCAGAGAAGCGUUAGGGCAGCUCGUAAUAUUGUUUUUUUCUUUCUUUUUUUUUUUAAUUAGUAACUCUAAUCUGAUCAUUAGGGGCAGCAGAAACCAGCACAGCUAUAGUACAACUGUGAGCAGGGCUAGUAAUUGAAGUGACAAAGGCGUCGUAGUUGGAAUAGUCACAUCUGUCUGACGACACUUUGAGCCAUUUCUACCAGAUUACGUGCUGUGACCAGAAGGCAAAGGGGACCUUAAUUGGGAAAUAUUGUGUGGGAGGGGAAAUAGAAGUGUGGCAAUGAUAGAGUGCAUGAAGAAAGUAAUCAGGAUUAACAUGUCAAGUUUUCUACGUUUGCUUUGGUUUGGCUGUAGGAGCAAAAUAUUCAGAAACAAAGGCUAAUAAUCUGGGCGUAGAGGUUAAAAGCCUCUGCCCCUCGACUUGUUGUGACAAAUCCAUCAUCCUCAGAAGUUCAGGGAAGCAACGGAAAAAUGAAAACUUAACAAAGACUCUAGCUAAAGGAGGUUAAGAGACUACGAGAGCAAUAGCCAGAAGGUUUGAGGAUGGAGACUGGAUGGAGGUAAAGCGGUGGAGUGGUACUGUAAGGCCCGCUGAUGGAGAACAGAUGGAAAGAGCAGGGGGUUGUGAUUAGCGCUACAUGGGGACCAGGUCUCUGUAGUGCUCAGUGUCUAGUAGUGGUUGGCCCUGAGGCGCCUUCCUCCGCUCUCAUUCCCCUCCCAUGGUACUACCGUCACUGGCCAGAGAAUCCCAGCAUGCUUGCUUGCUAUCCCAUCCACUCAGCGCUGCACAUGAAAAAAAAAAAAAAGACAAGAAAAAAAAAACAAGACCAUUUCUCAACAUUCUCGUUCUGGCAUAAACAAGACAUCCCGUUGGCAUGAAACUGUCCCUGGAGGAAUUACACGCUUGGUCUCAUCGUUUACAUCUCCUCCAUGCUGGAUGAGUCUAAAAUUUACUCGGAGAUUGGCUUUAUUAUGAUGCUGCACAUUUGUCACAUUAUUACCACAGAUUUUGCCUUUGUUUUGCAUUUAUCUUUUUAUUAUGAUUUUUUCCCCCUUUACACACCCAAUCCUGUGCUGAACUCCCCAGAUGCUUCAAUUCAACCAUCACUCAGCACAGCACAAUUUCAGCCAAAGCCUCAGUCGGACGAAUUAGGGUAACUCGAGCUGAGCCAGAUUGUAAUCAAAGCGAAAAUAAUGAGUGCAGGACAAAGGCCGGCACUAUUACUCUAGCUGGCUUAACAUUUCUCUCCCUUAGCUUUUUUCCUCUUUUCUCUCUCUCUCUCUCUCUCCUCUGUAAGAGUCCACAGAAAUACAAACAAACAGCAGAACAGAGGGGGGAAUAAAGCAGAAAGGAUAGGGCAGCUCAGGCUGGUUGUGAAGGCAUAAGACAGAGAGAGUGUGAGGGCUAAACAGAGAGAAGUAGAGAGCAGGGCAGUGGGCCUGUACUCGCCUCCACAGCCGGGGACUUGCAAAUGAACUAAUCACCUGAGGGGAUUCUUCUCAGCUUACUUAAACAACCAGUAAGUUAAACACACAUGCUUCACAGCCAUCGCUGUGUAGGGGUUUGUGCGGGUGCGUGUGUGUGUCUAUGUGUCCUCAUGGGUAUGUGAGCAUUUGUGACCUGCUGCCCAACUGACUGAGGCAAGCAGCAGGCCGUCAAAAUAAGAAGGCAUCUGUUCCAGACAUGCUGGCUGAGGCAGAGAGACAGUUAGUGAGACGAACUGGGAGCGAGGCCGGAGCCAGGGAUGAGAUCAGUGUACGGUGGCCCUCUUUGAGGUUUUCUGAUUGUCUUUCUUUGCAGUAAUACAGGGAAACUAAAUGAUAUGUGACUGCAAUUUGUAACGAAAACAUGGGGCCUCCUGCAAAUUAGGCAUGCUGCAGUACUUCCACCUCUUUGCUAUGCACAUUCAAGAGGCUCUUGGUUAUGGCAAGAAGAAAGAAAAUGAAAACAGGCUAAAGAGGAGCAAAAGGGGAGAAAAGUGAGGAAUUUUCUUUAUUUUCCUGUUGUGACUCUCUUUGAUUCAUGUUCCACCAAAUAUUUCAGACAUCACAGCUUUUGAGGAUGUUUUGAACUGCUGCUUUGUUGACUAGAUACACCGGGGGGAUUUCAGAAGUAAGUAAAAGGCUAAAAAGAGGAAGAACAAUUUAAGCGGCCAAAUGUUGCCACUGAAGCACUAUCAUUCAGGGAAAAAUGAAUAUCAUACACCAAUUCUGCUAUUUCAUCUGCACUGUAGUAUUUGUACAAAAGCUGGCCAAACAUCAAGUCUGGAUUCUUGCACUCCUUCCAUCCAGCCCUCUGGUCUCCUCUCAGAGCUACUGUCUGACAAUACUGUGAUACAGGCUCAGAGGCAGCUGCACGAGCAACAUAAGAAAUUCUGUAAAUUUCACACUCUGCUGCCUGCCAAAAAACCCUGGGCCCAGAUUCGGUGAUUUGGCCUCUCAAGUCUCUUUCCAAUCUUCCCCCUCGCAUGCCACCAGCAGAGGACCUUGUUCGUUCAGCAUCCCUGUUUUGGAUGCAGCUCUCAGAAUAAAAAAACAAAAAAAAAAACAUCUUGGAGUCACUGGCUACGGGGUCACUUCAAACAAGUCAGAACAUGCUCAGAUCUGUGGCGCUGUGCAAUUUGCAUCAUGUGCAGAGACGCCACGAGGAAACCAAUUACAAGACAUGAUGGAAGAGAAACUGAACAAAAAACAGGGGGAAAAAAAGACGUAAUCAAAGCAAACAAGAGCCAAUGUGAGGAAAACUUCUCCUGUUAGUACUUAGUAAAAAUGCUGUUAUACUAUUCAUGUGAAGGCCAGAUAGACUUGGAUUGUGGCGCAACACUACUCAAGCCCCUCUCUUAAUGACUUCAUGUACAGUACAGCAGAUGCAUGAUCGCUGCGUUUUUGUUUCUGUGUCUUAUUUCCUGCCAAGAAAAACACAGAACCUCCCCUUUAAUUCCAUCUGACCAGUGUUUACUUUAAAGAUGAGCUGUAGGUUACUGACACUAUCAAGGGAUUGUUAUGCAUUUUGAUGCUUUGAUGCCUAGAGGAGGCAGAGGGAAUUUAUUGAUGGGAAAUAGAGGUCCUGAGUCGGGCAAUUUAUAGGUCCUUCUUGGUCUUAUGUGGGAACAAAGAAGUUGAGUGAAUCACAUUAAACGUGUGCGUGUGUGGUGUGCAGAGUUUUCAGCAGGGAGAAAGUUUACAAAGCUUUGUGUCGAAUGCUCGGGGAUAAUACUCGCUGCACUGCAUCUAAAUUUAAUGUACAUGUGUAGUUUUUAAUGCAUAAAUAGAAUAAAAGAAUGAUUUUUUUGUGUCAGAAGUUCAUAGCUCUUUGCAAUUUGUAUCUGUCAAUUUAUGUAACCAGUGCGUUUUCUUUUUGUGCCGUCUCUUCCUCCACCGACCACUUGAGUGAAAUGAAAUACCAAUGUCUGCCAACCAAGCGUACAGAUUUUACGGUGCUUUUCUACAGCACAAGCAUUUUCCUUCCGUACAAUUUUCAAGCACAAGGAAACCACUAAACACGGCGUUCCACAAUUGAAUUACCUCUCUGUUUCCCAGUCAUUGGGGAGUUAAUAGCUGGUUACAUGUUGCUGUUACAUGUUAUGUGAAAUAUUUAUUGUGCAACUGGCUGCAUGGCAGCUUAAAAGUGCUUUAAACCUGGAGAGCCGCCAGACCGCAAGCACAGCACUGUAAAUUAAAGGUGAAUUAACCUAAAAAUAAUUUAGGAGUUUGAAAGGGAAAUAUGGAGAAGGAAAUCUGAGCUGCUUUAAAUUAUGUUGUAUUUUACAGAUACUGUAAAAAUAGAGAACAUGAAGCUAAAAAAGUUAUAAAACCACUGCUGCACACAGUUUUGCAACACUGCAUAGCACAUGAGCAUGAGUGUUUUUGUUGGUCAGUUCCUGGUUGCAUUUGGAUGAGGGAAGCGUCUUGUAAGGGCAGCCAGUGGGUUUCAAUCAGGAGCUGGGUUUGUUUUGCAGCAUCCCCGUAAUUAACUGAUUGAUAAUUUCUGGGUUGGUUUCCCUUAAUUACGGGGCUGAUUGUACAUGAAUGUGGUGAUCCAGUGAAUUGGAAGCAACUGACACAAUGUGGAACACCUCCUCCAGAUUUCUGCCAUGACUGGUCAACACACACACUCUGUUGCUGCUCCUCAAAUGGUGCUAAAAAAUUUCCCCCGCCUUGCCCCCCUUCAUCACACUUAUAUUACCCUGUUAGAGACGCAGAGUAAGCUGGAUUUUUUUUAAGCCUAACUUUAUAUAUAAAUAUUUAUGUUGAAGAUAUACUAUGCUUUUUUUCACAUUUUAUCAGUCUUUUGAUGAAGUAACAUUAUCCAGCGACAUGUGUGUGAGUAAGGUUCUGCAGAAAGAUAUUGUCAUUUGUAUAAAACCAUAAACAAUAAGCAGAAAGCUAAAAAAUAUCUCAAAGUCAAUCAUAAAACUCUCAUUUGUUACCCUGAAAAUCUCUUUGAAAGCACAAGCUGUGAUGGAGUGACACAGUUUCAGUGGGAGGAUCAUGCCUGCUGUCCAAGGCCAAGGGCUUUAAAAAGACAUUCGGCCUAGGUCACAUUCACAGUGCACAUAUUUAAGCCUGUUUAUUUAAGCCUCACUUUGCAUGAUUUGGAAGGAGAAUUUCUGUUUUUUUUACUCUGCACUUCGUUUGUUUGCCAAAUAGUAGCAUAAAAAUUUUACUUUUUCAAGUUACUUUUUUUGCGUCAUGUGAGAACAUUUCUUUUUUCAUUUCCAGAACUUUAUAUUAUAGUUUUAUUUUGUUUGAGUAGUAGCAGGUACCAAUGUAAUGCACAUAAAAAGUGGUCUGAGAUGGAAGGUUGUACAUGAGCUAGACAGAUGAUUGAAGAAGUCCAAAAGUGGCUCUGCUAUGUGGAGUAGUGCUCUGCAGCAGCUGCAAUCAAGGCCUUUAUGGUGGCCAUUACUCCCAGCUGAUGGGGGAAGCAGAACCUCCUCAUAAUGGCUGUCUGAGCAAGACAGUGAAACGUCCACAACCUCUAAACUAUCCAUGGCCCAGUUGCUCACCUUCCAGUGACAUCAACGACUUUACCACGAGGCAGGAAAAAUGAAAAUAAAGAUUGCGUUCAAUGCUCUUGUAUAAGUACUUUGUCUUAAUCCUCAAAAAAUGAGAAACAGUUGUAAGACAACUGUGUUUGUAAUAGCAGGUAAUAGUAAUAUCAAUUUCAGUGCUGGUGGUACCUCUGAGGUAUGGGGCUUCCUUUGUCUGGGGAUUGCUCUUUGGCAAAGGACCAAUAAGGUAAGCUUUGUGGGAUUUUCUCAUCUCUUUAUUUCAACAUCUCCUGCAGAGGUAGGAGGAAAAUCUUUCAGUAAACAGCGCUGAGAGGGAAACUCAAAUUCAGACCAGGACAGAGAAGCAUAUGUCUGCAAUUCAGCCUUAAGUCCAAAUGAAGUCACAGUAGAUGUUUGUUUACUGUUUCAUCAACAUUGCAGCAUGCUUUAGUAAUGCUGGCACCACUGCUGAGUGAUCACAUAAUUUGUUUGCAUGUGGAAGUGUUUUUCUGUGACUUUGUAGGAGGGAUUUUCUAAACAGCUCAUUGUUUUUUUCUGAAAUAUUGAGAUAAGAGCUGAGGGAAAUUUAUGACAACCUCUACUUGUAUAAUCUUUGAAGAUGAAAAGAUCAAGCCGAAAGAAGUAAGUCCCAAGAUUUAGUAUGACAGCGCAAAAAGGAAAAAAAAAAAACUCUGAGGUGAAAGAAAGCAUAAAAAUGCUUUCUCAGUGCACACAGCGAGGAAAAACACAUUCAUUGUAAAUCUGAAUCUUCUGGAGCUGCUGCCUUGAUCUAAAAAAAAAAAGAAAAAAAAAAAAAGAAAAAAACUUUCACUACCUUUCUAUUGUAUAAGAGCCCAUGGAGCCAUCCAUCACUAUUUUCCACAGUGCUUUACCACCCAAACUGCACGCUGAAAAAAUGCCGUGCAGCAUGGCAGAGGAUUUUUGGCCUCUGAAAACUGAACAGAGUGAGCUUCACUUAAGAUCUAUAACCAAAUUAUUCCCAGCCAGAUGGAAUAAAAAUUAUAGUUAUUGUUUUAUUGAUCCAAAAGAAAUUUAUCAAAAAUUAAAAAUGAUAUCUUGACCAAAUAUUUAAAAAUUAAAAUAAUAAUAAUGAUAAUAAAGACAAUAUGAAUGUACGUCUAAAAUGAGGCUUCCACGUUCUAUUAUAAAAUAUAAACUAAACUCACCUUUAUAUAAAAUCCAACCAACAGCAGAGACGUGUCGGUUUAAGAUUUUCGGAUUGAUUUUAAGAGGUCAAAGUUGAACAAAAUGGACAAGAUAUGGUUUGAAUGAUAAAAGAGAAUGAAUGAAGGAAAAAAAAACCCAACAAACCCCCGAAGAUCCCUUAAUUCUGUAUUCAUAACAUCAAAUCUGACCAAACCCUCAUAGGUUAAGUCUCGGUCAACAUGUUCUCCUUUCAGCGUUAACAGAAUCAACAGUAAAUUAUACAUGAGGAGCAAGCUUCUUCCUAACCCGUUAAAAAACAACCUAACCUGCAGGUCAGGCAGCAGACAGCACUAACAGAAUCUACCAUCGCACCUUUCCUCGUCGUGUCAACUGGGAUAAUAAGGGGCCCGGCUGGGGGCAUGACAUGAACACAUUCUGAUACUGCAGCGGAACAAAAGUGGGGCCACUGAGCGUCCCUGUCAAGUGCCAGAGAAUAGAAAUACAGUCAUUGAAUAGCCAUGCAGCCAAAUCCAACAGCACUGUGCCUCCAGACAAUAGGUGCGGUGCUAAUCCCUCUUCAUGUGGUCUGCAUCCCCUGUCAUGCCCAGCGGUGAACCAUGCUGAGAUGCUGCGUUGGCGACUGACACUUCGACAAAGGCGGCGUCCCGGGAAACUGUUGGGCCUGUGUGCUCUGCACUGCUGUGCAUGGAAUCUGCAUUGGGGGGAAUAAAAGAGAUGAGCAGUGUGUUUAACAAUAAGCUGCCUGGGUGCCGAGACCCCCGUAAAGAGACUCGGUGUGGCCACCCAUCAAAAGCUCUUGAGCCCAACACUUGAUGCUGGCAGACAGUCCAGCCCACGCCCACCCCCUAUGCCAUCCUUGGCUAUCAGUCCUGUGUCUGAGCUCGGUCUAGUCAGGCCUGCUUCUCUGUCCUCUGCUCUGCUCUGCUGGAUUUGACAGCUGUUACCGGGGAAGGUUAUUCACCCAGCGCAUCUCUCCAUACACACACAAUGACCCCACAGCCCCCGCCUGUCUAGCCAACCAGCUCUUAUGCUGGGCGACCAACAGACAAGGUGGAGAAAACGAGCUGACAAUGUCACUCCUCCGCCACUUGCAUUUCACGCUAGAUAUGCACCCGAAGACGGCUCUUUUCGCCCCCAAAAUAACUGAGUUGGCUGAAAUACAGUGACACCGUUUGUAGUUUUUUUCCUUUUGCACGUUCAAGGCAAGCUUGCAGAAAAUAGGUCAAACGCCACGCAGAUGUGGUUCAACUGAAAAUGGCUGCCAUGGAAGGCGUGUUUAUUGGAAUGGGGGGUUGCAGUAGCAUAAGGCGAGGAUGGGUGGCGCUCCUACUGUACAUAGGAAACAGCACAUCUACUCAUCAUAAUGUACAACCUCCUUCUUGAGGAUAAAGAAGUUGCUGAUUUCUCCCUUGAACUGAAUAAAUAGAAAUACACAACCCAGUACCUGAAGAUGUCUAUCUGAUAGACUUGGGGAGUUGCAUUACAGUUUAUGCAGAGAUCAUUUUAAGAAUAAAAGCAUGCAGGGUAAUUUUUUUUAAUUUUUAUAAAUGACAUUUGCACCAUUCAUCACUCUUCAGUAUUAACGGAGUUAAUUUCUUGUCAUAUUUGCAGCCUCUGAUUGCUUUUAGUGUCAAAAACCAACGCUACUACUCUCUGCAAUGCAUUGUAUCUCAAUUCUCCUACACUGUUUGUCUCGCAACACACUUGCAGUCAUGUGUCCUUCACAGGCUCUUUUAUAGCCUGAUAUUGCUUUUUUGUUGUUCACAGAUAAGCCUUGGGAUGUAUUUAUGUUACGGUACAGUCGUGGAUGUUCCUGUGUUGAGCUGAUGCACAGUACAGUUUACUAAUUGGAAAAUAAUGAGGGUAAUAAUGGCUAACCACUCAUUAAAAUUCAUCUGUUGAGCCUUUUUGGUUACAGCUCGGUAUUGAACAUGAGUAAAAAAAAAUAUGGGGAACAAUAUCAGGAUAUUAUCUAAUUAUAUAGACACACUUAAUUAAAUAUGUAAAAAAGCUGCUGUUGGUGUAUGACCUGAAUAUCCACAUUAAAAAUAAGCACUUAAUAAUUCCCUCUGCUGAGCAACAUUGUGUUUUUACUACGCUGGCUUCAUAAACAUUGGUGAAAAACAAUGUUAUAAACUAGAAAAACUCCUAAUGCAAUACAGAUAAUGUGCAGCGCACUAACUCUGUACAUUUAAUCUAUUCUUAUGAAACGGGUUGUUAUGGAUGACCUGAGAUUCUAAAUACUUAAUUAGUGUGUAAUCAAGCUUUCCACGGGCCUACUUUGUAACACAGCAAUGCAAACUUAAUAUAAACAAUAAAGGUUUUUUUUCUUUCUCGCUCCCUCUUGAAAUGUUGUAUCCUGGAAGUAAUUAUAUUUAUUUAUCCUCAUUUUUACCCUCUUCUUUUUUUUAUUGAUGUUAAAGAAAGCACAGCAAUAUCUGCUACGGUUCAUAAACAUUCACAGAACAGUAGAAUGAACAUAACAUCACAAACUCAAGUCUGCCCACUGUAUGUCAGCACACUAUUAGCAGCACACAUCCAAUUACAUUUAUGGUGGUAUGAACAACUGUGUUUAAAUAAAGCACUCACUAAUUAUAUUCACAGCUAGGACCAUUCUAGUUAUCACCAUCACUAUCAUCAUCUCCAUUACGGCCUUCAACACUGUUACUGUCCAGACUGUUACUUCUCUGAAGAGCAUCAUUACCACAUUCAGUGUCUUCAAGCUCGCUCAGCUGAGAAACGCCAGAAAGCCAGCUCAUAAUGCAGCGCUCACGCACGCACUCAUGCUUGCGAACAUUUAAAAAACACACAUAGUUCCUCUCUUAUGUGGCAGGACCAGCUGCGCAGUGUACUCUCGGCAUCCAUCCCUGACGGCAAAGCUGCACUGUCAGUUUACCUUGCCCCAGGACAUCCAUGGGACAGCCUAUCAGCCGUCUCCCUUCUGCCAAAGACAUGUAGUCCUGUUUAUCACCUAAUUGACUCUCAGAGGAAGGCUGAGAUUGACAGUGUCGCUCCCACAUCACUUAAGUCCUUUUUAGCCAAGCAAACCCUGCCCGCCUUCACCUGUUAAUAAUACAUCGUGGCUGACUUACUUUUCUGAUAAGAGCCGCUGCACCUCGCACUUUAGUCAAACACAGCCGAGAGGAGAGUCGUUAGAAGCCAAUCACGUCCCCUCAUUUGAGGAGAUGACUUUCACUGUCACUUUUUUUUCCAGUUCUGUCUCAUAUCUUCAAUCAGAAGACACUGAAAGGGUUGAGUUUUGGAGAGGCAAGAGGGAGCAACACUUCCUGCCAAACCAAAACAAGCCCAGGAUUAUACUUGUUUCAUAUUCCCCCCAGUUGUGUUCAAAUGAAGCAGUGCUCAUUUUGUCCAGUGUGGCAGCACAAUUAGGAGGGCUGCUGCCAGCAAUUGACAGAAGUGUUGAGAUAACAUAUAUUGAGGAGCGUAUUUAUUAUGCAUUGAUGGAUAGGAAGACAGACUGGAGUUUUUAUAACAACUCUAAACAGAAACGACAGGAUUGAUUGAGACUAAUUGACAGCACGAGAAAGUAGUGGUGAGAAAAUAUCCGGGUUGAUGUGUGUAAUUUUUUUCCUGCCCUGCCACUUACUUGUCAUUACCUGACAGGAAGCAACUUUCCAUUUUGGCGAUACAUGCUGUGCAUUUGACACCUUUCUGAAAGCCCAGCCUGCCUCUUGUGAUGGCAGAGGAUGGGGUAAAAAGGGCAUCGGGUGGGAGUGCGAGCCAAGAUGGCCCUUGUCCUCGUCUGUCGGAGAUUAUUUUGUGGGUCGCGACUGGCGUGCUGGCAGUUUGUCAUGCGCCACUUGCUGUGAUGUCACUGAGGCCACCCUUGCAGAACUUUAGCCAGCUGGGUGCCGUCACAGAGCCUCAUCACGUCUCAACUAAGCAGUCCAUGACUUUUUUAACACCCUGCCGGGGCAGAGUUAUUAAUAGAGCUGUAUAGUUACAUGAUCACAGAGGAUAUUGAAAAAAUAGUUGCAUUUGAGACUCUGCUCAGAACAGGUAAACAAAUUACACCAGGCGCUCAGAUAAAACUGCUCGCUGUCAGGAUGAGACAGAAAGGGAGGAAAGUUGGCGUAUAAUCAAGGUUGUAAUGAAUAAGUACGUUCCACACAUGCACAAGAGUGAAUCACCUCCCUUUUAUCGCUUGUUUGAUAACACCGUACUCUUUGUCUUGGCUCCCAAGGGUCUUGGGUUGUCUUCCAAGUUUGCAACAAGCCUGCUUCUGUCCUCUGUUGUAAUUCAUUCAGUACCACUAAAGCACAUCAAAGUCUCUCUCUCUCUUUCCUAUGAUACUUGUGUUUGUCAGUGGCUGACAAAAAAAAAAAAUGGGGCUUUUCAUCUUGGAAUUAUUGUCAGGGCUGAGACGCUUUGUAGGAGCUGUUCUCACAUGUCUGCAGCCUGGUGAACAUAUAGCUCUGAUCUCCAGCAUGCAUCCUCAUAAUGGAGGAAAUCUGCAGAAUAUGAAAACUAUCAAGACUCAGAGAUGUAACUGUCAGGGUGCCACAGGGCGUUAUAAAAUCUUUUAGCCAGUUUGUUUGAGCUGUGCUUUACUUCAAACAUACACAGAGAAAGAGGACUCACCUGGGGAGAAAAAAGGUUGUCUGCAGCUGAGACAAUCUGAUUUUCAGCCGCUUCUAUUAUCUUCUUAAGCUAUCGCUUAUUGAGGAUAUCCUACUCACUGCCCAAAGUCCUUCAGCUCAUUAUGCACUAAUGAUCUGUCUGCUUUUUCAAAGUGUCCCCUUUGAUAGCACAAGUACAGACGCAAACUUCUUCACAGAGCACACAGUUCAAGAGCAGAAGAGUAACUUUUCACCUGUGACAAAGAGCUGCUUUCUCAGUGGGCAGGAGAGCAGGAAUGAAACUAAAGAACAGUCUUUAAAAUACCUUCAAAGGAACCAAAAGAAGUGCUCUUAUGAGGUAAAAUAUGUAAAUGUAACCUGCUGCAUCACUUAUUUCAACACACACACACACCCACACACACUCACACUCACACUCACACACAAAUACAGUUGAAGAAAAUAAGCAGCCUGACCUUGUGCAAUUUCUUCCCCUUACCUCCUCUGCAGCUCACUCUUCUCUGGUAAGUUAUGAUUAUGGCACAGUGAAAAUUUCCUUCUGACACUUCAGUGUGAGUGUGUGUGUAUCUGUGUGUGUGUUGGCAGUGUGGAGGUGUGAGUGUCCGUUGGAAAGGGGAGGGGGUAAUCUCAUUCUCCUUUUCAAUCUAGUAAUUAACUUGACAGCAUGACGAAUGGACACGAUCAGCUGUCUGCCUCCAUAGGACACAAAUAUGGCGUAUUACACGCUUCUAUGUGGGAUUCCACCCGGCAAAAAAGACAUUAGAGAAUAGCUACUCAAAUGGAAUCAAGUUGAGUCGAGUUUCGUAUGAUAUUCAGUGUAUCAUGUGUGUUUGGAAAAGCAGCACAGAAAUAGGGAUGGUGCGAGUGAGCAAGGGUCGUGUAAAAACAUGCACAUGCACACUCUGAGGCCGAUGUUCCUGUUUAUUUGAAAGCAGCUCUCUCUUUUUUACUCCCACCAUGGCUCCCCCACAGUCUGCCCCCUGUUAGGCCCUAAUGGCAUAGAGGAGUCGACUUGUCUAAGUAGGGCCUACUGUAUAUCACUGCACUGUCUCUCCUCAUAUCAGUCCCCCCCCCACCCCUUCCCUCUACUCACCCUCCACCCCUGCUGCCAUUAAUCUAUCUCUCCAUCCCUCUAUCUUGAAUACCUGAUUUGGCUGAGAGCUUUGCACUUCACUGCACCGCUGCCUGUUCCUGAGACUUAGUGCAUGCAGUUCACAGUGCACCAACUUAAAAACACAUACGCAUUAUUGGAGACUUAUCCAAUUAUGCACACACACACCCGCAAAAACGCACACAAGAAGGCGCUCUAAAAGCAUGGACUGACCUGCGGUGGCCUUCUGUAUAAUAGCAAAUGCGAUGUGUCUCACUGCUACCUCAUUUUGUGGCUCUGUAGGUCCCCGGUUGCAGAGUCACCUGUAUAGGGUGUCACAAUAAAGCAGACAUGAAAACGUCAGGUAUCCAAUUUAAUUUGUGCAGCUCUACAUCAAAAUGAUACCACAUCAUAGCAUACAGAGACAGUAUCUCUUGAUAAUGUAAUGCAUCAGAUGUAAUCUUGAAAGGAUAUUUUUUUGGGGAGCGUUAGAACAAAAUAAAUAUACAAAAUAAUCCCUUCCUGGCAAAGCAACCAGGCGUGCUCUGGUUACUGAUAUUUACACAGUACAAAAUAAUAACAAUGCUAAUGUCAAUAGAAACACAAUAAUGUCCCAAUCUGAUUAUGGAGCUUGUGUGUAUGGCGAGUAGAAAAUUAAAUUUGAAAUUUGAGAACUUGCCUCUGUCUGUAAUGUAUUACCGUGGAGGGGGUGGGAAUGGGGGGAUAUGGGGGUGGAGGUGGAGGUGGGGGCAGAAUUUAAUAAACCCGCCAAAAAUUUUUAAAAUGCAUAUUGGCCUGAGAUAAGGUGGAGACUGUCGUUUUUUCUAAAGUAAUUAUGAGGUUUUAUUCAUUUCUGUCAUUAGUCAAACUGACAGCUGGUCCCUGCAGGCUGGAUACGUCCCAUUCUCCUGUGCUGCACACCUAUCUGGGAAGGAACCCUGUAAUGAAUGUUUACAACACACAGGUAACAGAGUAAAUAUUGGACUCAUCAAUUACACAGGCUGAGGGAGCUGGCAAUCAAAUCCCAUGAUUAUUGUUACCGUUGGGGGCAACAUGAGCCCUGACAGCAGGCCGGUGGUCACAUACGACCCACAGUGCAAGAAACACAUCCACGCAUAGAUGCUGGAGGAUAGAUAUAGAUUACAGAAAAACACACACAGCACCCUCUCACCUUGUCAUUUUGUGGAGCUGUCUCACCCGUACCAGAUAGGGCAGAAAGGAGCUUGUUAACAUUGUGUUAGGGGGGAGGAAUGGGAGAGAGAUAAUGGGAGAGGGAAAACAACGAAAAUGGAGAGAAAAUACAUUUAAAUGAUACUGUUAUCAACAAGGGCAAGUUGCUCUAAAAGUAAAGGUGGGUAAAAAUUUAUAUGGUUUACAUUUCCAAAAAAAAAAAAAAAGGGGUAUAAAUAUUUAUUACCUCCGCUGUGCCUGGGUUAGCCAUGAUUACUUUCAAAGUAAAUGACAAACAAGGGGCUUUGGUUCUUCCGUCGGUGUAGCCUAAGCAAUCAAAAUUGCUUGUGUUGCUAAAGCUACUGAUUCGGAAGUGUGUCAAAAGUGUCGCUUUAUGCCUCAUAAUAGUCUACAGAGACUUCAUUUGUGGGGUGUUUAAAGAAACUGUGUGUCUUUCCAUAGUGACUUGGAUCCCCUCUCUCUCUAACUUUGUGCUGAUGUCUGUGCCUAUCAUGUUUUGACAGCACCUCUCUCCCACUAUUCCACAUUUUGGACAGCAGGACCCUCGACUCGGAGACGAUAAACUGACACCAUCUCCCAAUUUUACCCCAAAACUCCCUCAUUACAGCAAAGGAUUGCUGAUGGGGCUUUGGAAGCAACCGUUGGUUCAGACAAGGUGGGGGUGCCUGUACAAGCUCUACACUGUCUCCGCAGCUUUUUUUUUUUUUUUUCCUUUUUUUUCCUUGGUCAAUUAAAAUGUUCCAGCAUGAGCAAGACCUGCAGGUGCUCACAGACUCUGAUAGCGAUGUUGUUUGUACUUUUGUGGUUUUGGUUUGUUUUUGUGCUCUGCAACCUAAAUGAACAUCUCUUGCAGUUGGCAUUUUGCAGGCUAAGUGUCCCCCAGCAUCUGUUUUUGCCUCUGAAGAAAGCUAAAGGGGGGUUUGGAGCAAAGCAGGUGUCUUAAAUAAACCUUAUUACUAAGUUUCUCCUGUUUAAGCAUCGAUUAGAUUACUGCGACUGUGCUCUCACACAGCUGAAUACGAGGGAGGGGUCAUUAACAUGUAAUUACACAUACCCAAGUAGUCGCAUACAUACACAAACACAGAGAAACUACAUCACUGGCAGCACCACAGCACUUCAGCAUGUGCUCAAAGUCUCCCUCCCACAGGGACCAAUCUAUGUUUUUAUGUUGAACACCUGUUAGCUACUGCAUGCAAUGCAAAGUCUAAGUGGUACACUUGAACCAGGCAAAGUACUAAAAUUACACAAUUGCUUCAGGUCACUGUAUCAGAAAAAUAGUAUUGACCACAAGAUACUCAUCCCGAAAAGUUGGCUGUUAUGGUCAAAUUUGUGAAUUAACUGGAGGCACCCCGUGAAUAGCUAUAAUGACUCCAUAUUAGAAUAGUGGUACAGCUGUGCUUCAGCCAUUGAGUUUGCUAUGCUGCCAAGGGCUGAGAGCGCACACGCCUGCACACACUCGCACACAUGCAUGCAUAGCAAGCUAAUAAAUUGCCCUGACACACCCUUUGGCGGCAGCAGCACAACCCACCACAACCACAUCCCCCUCGCCCACAACCAGUCUGACUCCUAAUUUAGCUGGGUUUCACAGUGAGACAUGGACUCUCCCAUGCACACUCAAUUUCCAAGGCAGGAAGCAAGGGGCUGGGAAGUGAAGGUGGAUGUCAUACAGAGGCGUUUCAAUAAACUGGAAGUUGGAUUAAACUUUUUGCACUUUCAGAGAGAUUAUUUUUCUUGAACUACUGAGAGGCUCAGAGAGUGGCUGGAGGAUGUCUCACGCAAAGAUGGGCACACACGGACUGGACACAGUGGGGACUAAAAGCAUGUAAUUAUCAGUACAGACUUGAUAUCUGUUUUCAAGUGAUGGUUCAACCUGCCUUCUAUAAAGGCAAGAGCACUGCUUAUUUCAACAUUUAGUGUUUAGCAAUUGGUAAGUAUUAGUUGUGAAAUACCACUGUCAGUCCAAGUACAACCACUGACAGGAAAAUGUUGCGUUUCAAGGUAAUAAUAAAGGGAAGUAUUUACAAAUGUGCUCACCUGACAUGGUAUGCAUUCAAAUCAAACAGCCAGGAGAGAUGCUCCUUGUUGUCCACAUAUGUCCGUGUCGACUUACGCUAUUCCACACAGUCUAUUACAGGAGAAUAUUUUGUGCAUGUGCUACAUUUCACACACUGUGUCCUAAUUUUUGUAACCUCCACCUUUUUUUUAAUUAAAAACAACAGAAAAAACAGAGAAGAGGCUGUCCCUAGCUAAAAAAAUCUGCAUCUCAUGGUUGCACAUGCAUGUGUGAAAUACAAACACACAGAAGACCAUAGGCACAUGCACAUCAGCUUUCUGUGUGCAAGGCUGCAGUUGUCCACGCUGAGAUAUUUGUACGAUCAAAGCUCAGCAGUGUUACUUAUAGCUCUCCUGACCUCUGAAAAGAAAUCCAUAUUAUUUUGCAAUUCUUUGUAAUCUUGAUGCAAUGUUUAAUACAGAUGGAGAUUUGGGCACACACUCUUGGGCAGAUUGUCCCCAAAGGAAUUCAUUGUAUUGCACUCAGUUGUACAGACCAAAAGUGAUGAAAGAAUCUAGUAGAUGAAUGAAAAGCAGAGUAUGAGUUCAAUCUCAGCCUUACUUCUGAUAUCUCUCUGCACCUCACCUUAAAUUGGGCAUGACUGUGUUUUUCCUCGUGUUGGAAAGUUACAAUACUUAUUGGACUGAGGAGAUUAAUAAGAGACUCUGGGAAGCUAUGAAUCUACAAAAGAAUUUAGGAAAGGGGCCUUUUUUAAAAAAAACAUAUUUUUGGGAGUUUGGUCAAGCGGCUGACUAUUAAGGCAUACCUUACAUUAUUACCUGCAAAUGUGGACGUUUACCAAUUAAUGCUGCGUUCCAGUUACCUCAGAAGUUGGAUGUUGGAGCUGGGAAUGACACUACACCAGAGUUGACGGCGUUCCAGUUAACAAGUCAAAAAAACACGAUGGAUUCUAAGUUGUUGUUAGCCAUUCUCAGCUGUAGUUAGUUGUUGUUGUUAGCGAUACCGGUUGUAAAUAACGCAUAACACAGUAUUUGACUCUACCAAACACCAUAGCACCGUGUUCACAGUUAGACGUUGGGCAGUACAACAUAUACCACUUGUUUAAUUACACAAAAAAACAAAACAGAAGUGCUAAUGAAUAAGACAUUACAAGAGCUUUAACAGUUACACUUUACUGUUGAUGCACUGUGCUGCCACCUUCGAUAAUGACAUUGUUGUCAAGUCGGGGUAGGUGAGGAUCUUCCGAAUUUCCUGAGUCGGAGAUCCAACUUCAGGGGGGCGUUCCAGAUUAAUUUCCGACUCAGAGCUCGGAAACUCUGACUUCUGAGUACAACUGGAACACAGCAUAAGACCAUCUCCUUUAUUCGUACUCAAAGUGUCUUCAUUUUGACCUACAUUUUCUUGUAAAACGUUCUUAUUUAAAUGUAGUAUAGCAAUCCUUUCAAUAAAUUGCUACACAAUUAUGGGGAUAUGGGGAUACAUAAGGAAAUGAAAUAAAGCUGUAAUUGCUUGUUAAAAGUAUGUAAGUCUCAGAUGUAACAUUAGCAUCAGUGCUACGUACUGCACAAAAAUUGUACACAUCUGUUGUCACUGACUCUGCAUCUCUGGUGUUGUCAGGUGUCAUUAGAGCACAGCUGGCCAGAGCGGUGAAGGGUAUGUGAGGGGAUGUAAAACUGAAGUGAAACUGGUGAGGUGUCAGGCAACUCGGCGUGAAGUGAGAGUCAUAUCUUAUUUUUCUUUGGCAGUCCUUUCUUUCCCUCUUUCCUCCACAUACACUCACACACUUCCUUGUUUAGUGUGGAAAGUUUUGGUGACUGUGCUCAGGGGGACAUUUACACUAAUUUGUAAAUGGCCCGGGUGCAGCUGUUUGAGUCUGAAAGAGUUAAGCAAGAAAGGAGGUCAGGAAAUCAGCCCUCAUUUUUCAGCAUUGACAGUCUCCGUCAGGCAGCGUGAAGGAUGUCUCGUGAGACUUCAGUUUUGACAGACUCAUUAGAAAGCGCACACACAACACUUGUCGAUAUGUAACAUUUAUAUUCUUUUACCACAGACGGCCAUGAUGUCAAUGAGGACUUCUAAGCAUCGUGCCAAAUGUCAAGUGAUAGGCCAGAGUUAAGGGGUAUUUGAGGGCUGGGACUGCCUUUAUAAAUCGAACAGACUUAUACAUGUGUCCGAACAGACACACCAACACGUAUAGAUUUUGUUCCUUUUCUUAAUAUAUUUCUAUGACAGCUGCGUAAGUAACACCACCAGGAGCGUGGACGCCACGAUGAGAGCCAGACCUCAUGGGCACCAUCAUGUCUAAUAAGUUUAUCAUUAAUUGCAGCCUUUGGGGACGUUUGUUCUUGAAUUAAUUAGUCUUUAACAACUCAGGGCUCAGCCAGUUUGAGGGAAUACAACUCACUUAGCAAAGCAUGAUGGCCUGUCUCUUAUUUUAUACUGUUUCUUUACUUUCCAUCAAUCUUCUAAAGCAGCUCAAAUAUAGAGUUUAGUUUUUCAUGGCUGAAAUUGACAGAAACAGACUAAUGAAUAAAGUAAAUUAUAGUGGGGAAUGUACACAUGAAUGGAUUCCUUUUGGAAAUAGUUGCCAUCUGUCCAUUUUUCUAAAAUAUUUAUCACAUGCUCUUGCUUAAUGUUUUGAUAGGACAUUUUAAAGUCUUCUAUAAUUCUCAGCAGACAGUCUGCCAUAGAAUUAAGUCCGAACCUGUUUAAUGUUAUAUAUAUAUAUAUAACAGUAAAGCAGCCUGAGAUAAAGGCUCUACUGUAAUUGGAAAUACUAAUUAAUUUAUAUUCAUAACAGUAAUAUAGGCCAACGUGCAAACUGACUCAAUUUUAAAAUCAUCCUCAAAUUAAUGAUGAACUUGCUUGUAUCAUUAGCUGGGUGUGAAACAAGAUACUAUAAAGUUCACCCAAGUGGGUCAUUUUGCUAAAUUGAACCUUGACAUGGUCAGGUGACCCUAAUACAACACAUUGAAGGACCUGGAUCAACUUGGAGUGGUUCUAUUCAGUAACCUUCUUACAUUAACCCUUGCACUGGAAACCUCUUACCACUGUUUAUUUUCUUAUGCCUACCCAUGAAGCUUCAGUGUCUGUAGACGUAACUGGGAAUAGAAGAAGCCAUGGAAAAAGCAGUCUCAAAACAGUGCAAUUUUUUUGUACUUAAGUACCCGUUUAAGAUUAAUUUGUCAGGGGCUUUUACUUGUUUUUUUUUAAGCUGGCUUAUGUUGUUUUGCUUGGAAAAACAGCAGCUGCUGUAGGCCCCAUGUAAGAGUGUCAAGUGACACUGUGAAAAGUGAGGCUAACCAGAGACCUUUUGUAGCAAGAUAGCUGACAGCUUGUGAUAUUAUUUUUGUUAGGAUUUGACACAACGCUAAGUACUCUCUGAGACCCUUGGGGUCCCAGGGUAAAGUUUCUAGCACUGGGCAGAAAGAGAAACUUGAGACAGUUUCUGUCAGAGACACUUGAUUGUAUUUCCCAAACAUUUUUGCACCUACGGACACAAAAGUACAGAGGAUGUUUUAAUGUAUUUAAUUUACUUUAUUUAUUUCUUUUAAUUUGUUUGAAGUGAUAAGUUAAGAAAAUACAAACAACUAAAUAAAUUAACAGAGCCCAUCAAAGCAGAUAUUUUAUUUUGUCCAGUUAGGUGAACUAUUGGUGUGAGAAUACAGUUACAUCUACUCUAUAUUUUGACUCUAUUUGUGAGUAAAAAGAAACAGUUUUUAUAAUGGGAGCUUGGCAUUUGCCCAAGAGUUGGUGCAGAAAGAAUAAGCAACAUGUAUGGCUGUGUUCAACAAAGAGAAACUGAAACAUGUAAAAAUAACUCUGCCAGAAACAAGAAGUUCAAGGGGAGAAUAAUAAUGGUGGAAAAGAUGGAAAGUCAAGCAAGUCAUAUGUGAAAAGUUUCCUUCCUCACCUCUAUUCGGCACAACCACUUGGGGCGAUCACCUGCUGAAUUCAUGCUCGGUCAACUUUGGAUCAGCAGUCACGUCCGUCCUUUAAAAAACAGCAAGCCAAACAUGGCUAUCAGCUUUCCUUCAGCUGCUGUCUAUCAAUGUCAUACUGGAUCAACAAUGCAGAACCCUUCCUGACUCUCUGCUCCCCUGCUGCACAACUGCAACCCCUCCACCUCUACACACACAUGCUCAUAGUAUCGUCAAGGGCAGGUUGUGAACUCAGGUGCAGUGUAGUUGACUUAUUUAUUUAUUUGUGUAACAGGCUGGGAGAUCAAUAAGGGUAUUCUGCUGCGAAAUAAGGUUGGACUGUCAAGAGACAGAUUAGGGCUGACGCAGCUUGGCGCCGCUCAGCUAUCCCUUCUCACUUGGCUUGUUGUGGGCGCACAAUUGAUCAUGCACAACACACAACCACAUUCUUAUAGGGAUUUACAACAAACUCAAAGAAAAUCACAGUGUAUAUCUGCUCAAUGCCAUCCAUUGUGAUUACAAAUUUAUGCGUAGAGAUGACUGACAAACAACUUUCAGUUAUAAACAGGAUUAUCUGUGAAAAAUAUCAUUAAAUACAACAGCCUUGGAACAAACCCUGAAGAGUACUUAAAGAGAUUUCACUCAUGGCAGGAUUUUCAAGAUUUAUCAACGCAGAUAUGACAAACACAAAUUUCUUGAUACCCCAGGAUAAGGUAUACUUAAAUACUUAAGAGAAACAGAAUUCUGAAGAGUUCUGUGCUUUCACAACUGUGACUCCCUCUCUACACGAAAAAUCCAGACACACAUUUUCUUCCUUGUCUUGAUACAAAAAUGCACUUUGUUUCUGACCUUGACCCUUCUGUUUUGUAAGCUUGAAAUGAUAGCGGAAUGCAAAAAGAAAAUAAUUAAGAUAGCUAAAUCCAUUAAUUUGCACUUUGAUGCAUGCAUGUUAUAUGUGGGCACAAAAGUCUAGGCAAGGAUAUUUGCGCCAAAGGAUUUUUUAAAUGGUAUGUAACUGUGAGCGCAGUGAUGUCAAUAAUCAAACAUGAUUUGGUCAGGUUGUUUUCUUGCAAUAUCUUCACAACAGUAAGUUGUUUAAUAUUCCAGUUAUUCCUCAAAAAACUUGUCUAACUUUUACACAUUUCAAGAAGCAGCAGUUCAUGUGUCAUAUGUGAUAUGCUCUGUGUGUUUCACUCCUAUUAUUGAUGUUUGUUUUUGUUUUUAUAUAUUGACACCAACCUGUGAAUGGGACUGAGGAUGGAAAUUAGCCACCUGGCUAAUCCUAUGCCUUUACAUGUAAAUGUUCCUUAACCCUGAUGCAUAUUGUAUUUAAAAAGAUUUGAAAAGAAAGAAAAAUCCUUAAUCCUAAAUCCUAACCACAAACUUCCAUAACUUGGUCAAAAUGACCCACAUUCAUCUGCAAUAGCUGGAAAAUUAGUAUGGUAACGUAGGCUAUAGUUUGCAGCUGGUUAUGCAAAACAGAGUAAAGACACCUUUGUGAGGCGGAUGUUUGAUCAAAAAGGGGAUUUAGAUUUGUAACUUCAGGUAUAAGAAAAACAUGUGCCCCCCUCUUGGAUACUAAAAAGUCAAUUUAUUCUUGAUGCCAUGGGAACCCAAACACUUAUAUCAACGUUUAAAUUGACAGCUGAGAAUAAAGGGGCCAUCACCAUGACUCCAUGCCCCCCUUGCUCUCCCAUUGUGCACAAACACCUUUCAGUUUUGCUCAGAGCGCAACUCCUGUAAAAUAUGAGCCCUAUCAUCACUGAGGACGACAGGCCAAUAUGUUGGACGCCACUCUCACUGGAGAGACGCAGCCUUGCCUCAACAACCUCAUAACAAUACUCUCCAAAAAACAGUGAAUUCUGAGGGGACGGCGUUUUAGAAGAGAGCUGACUCUCUUCAAAGCUCUUAUUACACUUUUACAUUAAAUCUCAGCUUGAGUGUCAGAUGAGUUUCCAGCCCUCUACUGACACAGAGAGACAUUGUGCAGAGAAGAAUGAGAGAGAGGGAGUGAGAGAGACUGCAUAAGUGUCAAAACAGAAGAAAAAAAAGUGAAAUAAAAGUGAAACUAGCAACUCUUUUUUUUCCUCUUUGCCAGCACAAUGGCACACUCCACCAUCUCUAUUAAAUGGGACUGUGCACAAGAGUUAUCCCUCCGGCCAUUCUGGGGUGAAGGCAUUCUGCCCGAGCCCUUUACUUUGACGGCAAAGGAACAGCAUGUUAUUUUACACUUAAUUGCAACUGUCAGCAGCUAACAUCAGUUGUGAAGGAACAGUAAUGUGACAUGACUACAAAAUAAACUCCUUCCUUCUCAUCCUUUAAAGGACAUCUGUAAGUCCCAUUACCAUACUGUAUGGUAAGCAGGGGAGCCUGACGAGCAGCUUGCAGAACGGUGCAGGUAGUGCCACCUUUGAAAAAGACAAACAAAAUAUAUUGCCUGCGCUGACGAGGGAUGUUAGUGUACAGAGGAGCAUGUGUAGUAGUUAAUGGUAUGUCACUGAUGGGGAGGAGAGGUCAGACCAAACAACUGCAGAGGGAAGCUUACACCAUCACAGAACCCCCGACCCCCCACAACAAAGCCUGGUGUAUAUCAUCAUUUUAGAGAGUGUAGAAUAAUUCACUGGUGGCCACAAUGCCCAUAGCUGGGGCUGGUCAAAAGAGAAAAAAAAAGAGCCUUGGUGUAUCCAUAAAUAAAACCUGCUAGCUAUUCUUUUUUCUCUCCUUUCAUCAGCUACCAUGUUUUGCACAUCUUGCCUUUGAAAGUGAGUUAGACUGAGGUAAAAAGAUGAAUAAAGCAGUGUGUGGACCCAGCAUUAUUCCCUCUGCUACUACAUCAUUAACUACCAGAACAGCAAACAGAGGAUGAACUGAAGUCAUUUCCACUGAAUACUGCAAACACAUCUGACAAAGGAGCUAAAUCAAAGGUUUGCAGAGUGGUUAAUGUAUCACAAUAUGAAAUCCACCCGUGCAUUAAGCAUUGUCCAAGACUAAUAUUCUUUUAGUUAGUGAGCCAUUGAGGGCGUCAGUCAUUCCCCCUACAGAGAGGGGAUCUGGUGGUCAUUGCAACUUUGUCCAGAACAAUGGACCUUUCUUUUGCUCUGACUUCCGAGAGACCCUUAUUUUACUUUUGCAGUAACCCCUGAAGAAAUUACUACUGGUGUCAUGUGUAAAGUCGGGGUUGAAGCCUUCGUUUGUCUGACUAAGCAUUUAACAAUGAGUGUCCAUCUGUGUGAUUUCACUCAUUAUCACAUUUGCAUUCACAGAGACGGCGAGAAUGUGCACAGAGAUCCUGAUGACCAUAAUACAGUGAGUGUGACUUUUGUCUUGUCAAGAUAGUAAAACUGUAUCUCACUAGAAAGGCCCACAAGUUCUCCUUCUAAACAGGAAGGCACCAGAAUCAGAGCAUCAAAUCUUACAAUACCUUUUGAAAAAUGUCUGUUUCUACUGCCAUGGCUUAGCUUUGAAAAUCACAGCCAACAUAAAACCUCACAUAUGAAAACAAGGUUUUCUGUUUGUGAUAGCAUUCCCUCUUUUGCAGCCCUUUCUUCACUGCAUCCCCCCUUUCAGUUUCUGUGUUGGUCUCUUUUGGAGAUUGGUAGUGGGUGGGUUUCAUGGUUUCUUUAGGGCAAACUGAGAGCACAUGGCUGGUAUAUUUUAAGACCAGGCUACAACACACUCUUUUUUGCGCUCCAGUCUCCUGGUACCAUGCUGUUCUUCCAUUGUCUCGAAAUAUCUGUCUUUAUAUUUUUUUAAUGGAAAACUCUUCACUCAUCAUCCAUUCAUCCCUGAGUUGACACCUUUAAAAGAUCACUGUAAACUCACUUCCUAGUUUGAAUUAAAUUUGUAAUUCUUGUAUCUUUUGUGAUUAUCAGUAAGAUUGUUGAGUUUAAAAAGAGUAUAUUUUCUUGUUUUUGUGAACCAAGCAAUGGCAGUAGGGCUGAGCAAUAUGGCCACAAACCAAUAUCAGGAUAUAUUGAGCAGUUCACCUCGAUUGCGAUAAAGGGAUGAUAACUACUCGACAAGCUGUUCCCCCCUCCCACAUUAACUUCGUCUACUUCAGCCACCACUCCAGCCACUACAACUUUUGAACCGUCCUCCAUCUCCUCACCCGUCUUUCCCUCUUUGUUACGGACUGGAUGGGAUGGGGUGGAGUAACAUCUCCGACGUAGGACAACAUCUUAAAUGAGACCAUAGCCUACCUACACACAUCCAAAACCAACCUUUAUCAAUAAUUUUUUAUUUUGACACCCAACAUAUUGACUUGGGCAAAAUGACGUUGGUCGUUUUCAUAAAUUUCAGUAUCUGUAAAUCUUCGGUUUAUCGCCCAGCCCUAAAUGACAGCAUUAAACAGCAGAAACCUCAGCUUUCACUUAUUCUAAUUUAACUAAAUCAAAAGGGUGUUAUUGUACUAGCAGAUAAAUCUAUCAUUGGUUUUCAAUCAUCAGUUUUCUUAAGUUCAAAAAACAAAAUCACACUUUCUUUACUUUGAUCUUGCAUUAUAUAUUCAAGGUACAAGAGUCCCUUUAUAUGUUGUGCUUCCUUGUAUCUGUUGGAGUUCAGUGUGCCAUCUACUUGAAUUAAAAAAAUAAAUAACCUGAGACAUAUGCGUCCUCUUGUCAUGCAAAGUCCACCAAGCAACAGCAUGACUUUGUAUGGAACAAACUGCAGAAACGCUAACCCAGAAUUUACAUGACAACAAAAACAAAGUUUUCAUUGUUAUGUAGGGCUGAAACGAUUACUCGAGUAACUCGAGUAACUCGAUUAAUAAAAUUCCUCGAGGCAAAUUAUAUGCCUCGAGGAAUCGUUUAAAUCCGGAACCAUGUGCAGCGCACGGUGUUUGACACGGACGGUUAUUUCUGUUGCGCAGAAGCGUGCUCUUUCCGCUCCUUCCGCUGCCGCGCGUUUGGUUCAAUCAUGGAGGGAAACGAGGACAGACAGAAGCUGUGUCCGAAAUGGCAUACUGCCUGCUAUCUACUUACCUACUCAAGCAGUAGCUACUGCCUACUGACUACUCAAAGAUGAUUUGAGUAUGCCGCGGCUGCCCGAGCGUUUACACACAUACAUACUAAAUACCCCAGAAUGCAUUUCGUGCCGGCCGGACGCAGCGCCGGGAAAAUUUAAAUAGUCCUACCACAAGCUACAAAGAACGACUGCAUACCGGACAAAUUAUAUAAAUUCAUUCAAUAAUAAUAUUUUUUCUAGCGAGAAAGUAAGUGUUUACAUCACGAUUAUGAGCCCAGUUGUUUGAAAUAGUGGCUGUUUGUAAAUUUGUCUCGGCGUUUUCGGAGACCGAAGCGUCCACUUGGUCGGUGUUUGCGUCUAUUUACCGUAAACACCGGGCAGCAGCAGCUCCCCCUUCACGUUUCCAAAUUAUUGCGAAGUGUUUUCAUAAUCAACAUCUACACGACACAAACCGGGCGGCAGUGGAUGAAAAAAAUCACACAAACAUCCGUGUAUCCAUGGUGAUAAUGCUAUACACCACCUGCUAGGCGUGUGAUGAGCAGCAGAGGGCUGCAAAAUGACCAACACACAACAACAUGUAAAUAAAAAUGUAACACUUUUAUAUAUUGAAUAAAUGUACAUUUGCUUGUCAAAUUAUGUUAGUAUCCAAGAAUUAUAUUAUUUCAGCCUAUUAAUUAAACAAGUAAAAUUAGAUCCAAAGCCUGGAAAUAGUUGUGACUGGUUUAGUGAAAACUGCAAAGAUCAUUACCAUAGCAAUUAAAAGACCAUCUGCAGACCUUGCCUUCAGUAGUUUCAUGUGAACUACAUGGUAAAAUGUAAAACUUUUGGUUCCUGAUUUAUGCAGUAAAAAUAUUCAUUUGAAAGACCUGGCCUAUUUCAGUUUUGUGUGUUACUGAUGGUUUUUAAUGAGGCAAACGUGAUUCAAUGCAAAGUAUUACAGUGAGAGCAAAACAUUUCUUAUCCGAUUACUCGAUUAAUCGACAGAUUAAUCGAUAGAGUACUCGAUUACUAAAAUAAUCGAUAGCUGCAGCCCUAUUGUUAUGUAAAAGCACAAACAUAGGAGUCAAGAUAGAAAAACUACAUAGUAGGGCCAUGAAGCAUGUUUGUUUGAUUAAGCGGUGAAGAUGUUUUCAUUGUGAUUUUGGCUCGUGCUUCACUGUUCAACCUCACUCCAGUAAAAAGGAUAAGCUAAUACAGCUAAAUACAGACUUCAUGUUGUGCUGUGGCGUUCAGCACCCCUGGCUCCAAAUAUAUGGCUGUGUGCUAUUGUUUGGCUGCCAGUGUUGCCUAGCAACACCAACCAAAACAGUUUCUAUGCGAUGCUGUUUGUAUUGACUUGGCCUUCAUGCUACCUUUGCAUAUGAAGGUAACACACCUUAUUAUCAAGAUGUUCUCUCCAUGAAUAACAGACCAAAUAACAUCAGACUGCACUACUGACAUAUUUUUAAAUGUUAACCAUGAGAAAGUUAUUUAAUGUAUCAGGUGCAAAUUCCUAAAACACAUAUUUGGGAAUGCUUCUAGUUUCCAGUGACCCUGAACUUUAAGCCACAGAUUGUGAAUACUAAUAUGCACUGACAGGAUAUAAAGAUCGAAUUCACACUCCCUGGACUUGCAAAAUAUUCAACUGUGACAAGCGUUUCACUGAGGAGGGAAAUUAUGCUCCAAAAAUAACUAAUUUCUUGAUUUCAGGACCCACUACUGACAGAUCCAAAAAGCUAAACAUUUAUAAAUACAUUUGCCUCGUAUCAUGUCCCAAGUAAUCUUUUUUCUCUUGGGACACAUCCGUUUGCACACAGACCCAUAAAUCUUUGCACUUUGUUGUCAUGUGGCAUUAAAGCCAGGGCUUACACAUUUCCAGUCUGGCACCUUUACUGACACAUCUUGGAGAGGGUAGGUGGAUCCUGAUUCCUGUCUCGGCAGCUCUCUUGUUUCUUCUCCCAGCAGAGGCCAUUGACUUCCACAGCAGCAAAGUCUCCUGCUGCACUCGGUCACAGCAGGCUAUCUGGCCACUGUUCAAAGCCUCGCGGAUAGAGAAAAGUCUCUUCCACAGGGUCAGUGCUGCACAAUGUGCAUCUGCCAUGUCUUAAUAUCACUAUAACUCAGUAGAACAAGCUUAUAUGAAUUUCUUUAUUUAACAAAAACUAAAAACCCUCAAAUUUUUGUGAGUUAUUUCCAAAUAAAAUAAGAAAAGUGAAUUAAUUCCUGUUUUUUCAGUGCGAAUUUAAGUGCACAGGCUAUUUCUCAGAUACAAAAGUUAUGGUAGUGCAUAAAGAUGAAAUUAAUUUUCGUCCUACUUCGACAUCAUUACUCAACAAGCAUGAGUUUAAUGGUUAUAGGGCACUGAUGACCAACAUGAACUGGCUUGUAGCACGUUCUCAAACACAUGUACUUCAGUUGUCUGAGGCAGCUGCACGCUGAUAAGGUCUUGGAUUGCACUCAAGUUCAAGUGAACCACGAAAGGCUUCCUUCCUUUGCUCUCCAACCUCCCACAGAGAAAUGGAAAAACCAGAGGGGAAGGCUGGAAAGAGUCUCAUUGGAUGAACCUACAACUUGGGGGUGUACCAGAUUGAUGCAGGCAUAUAGCAGCUGGUCUAUUCUGACUAUUAUACAGUAUUUGUUUCUAAACUGCUUUCAUUUUUCGAGAGGUUUACAAAUCCUCGAUCUCAGGGCAACAGUUUUGGGAUACAUGAGGAAUUAAAUUUUUUGCGAGUUACUUUCGAUGCCUUAGAAUAUCAAAUAUGUGCCUCUGACAAUUUACAAGAGGUCAUGUCUGAUAACCUCGAGUCCUUAUAUUGGCUUUCCUGCAGUCUAACACAGGAAAAACAAUCUAGAGUUAUCUUUAUAAAGUUAAAAGAUUUUAUAGGCUCCUUUUAGGCCUUUAUUCAGAGAAGAAAAGACAGUUUUAAGAUCAUGAAACCAGACUAGAGAAUGUGAAGUGACAAACGGGACAGGAAAGAAGCCAAAGGUUGUAAAAUAAUUAGGUCAACUUGCUUUAGUACUCGUCUGUACAUGGGGUGCAUGACUGAACCACAAGGUAAAACUGGCACCCUAAAUAUCGGGGAUUCUACUAUAAUUAAAAAUUAAAAACCAGCUAAUCUUAACAUCAGAGAUUCACUCUGGUUGUUUUUCUUAUUUUAUGGGAAAAUGACAGAAACAAUAAGCUUUUUGACAAAGGUGCAGAUUGACUAAGAUUUACGUCAAUGUUCAGAGUCAAAAAAAAAAGCGAUGUCUGGCCUUUUCAAACAACUGCAAAGUUCACAUUCCCGCCCCCGCACUAUUUACACAGCUCAGUACAGUAUUGACUUUAACAGUGAUGUAUUGUACAGAUGUGAAGAACAUGACCUUAAAUCUUCUCCUCUCCAUAAGUGUUGUACCUUGGGGUUCAUAAAAUCUGCAGUAUUCAUGUGAAUAGGUGGUCGAGUGAAUGCUCUUCCCAUACGGAUGUCUUGACAUAUAUAUAUUUCCCUAACAGCUUCUACCUGUACUCUUCUUAUCCUCAUCAUCAAAAGAAAACACCUCUUUUAUGGACGGGCAUGGAAUAGUCAUUUUCAGCCCCCUCCUCCCCCUGAAAGCUCUCUCUAAGAGGAUAAAGGCAAGGAGACAUCAAGUCGAUUUGUAGUCGCUGAGUCAUUCUUAUAUCCGUGAGCCUUUUAAUGCAUGGGCAUUAGUGUAUUAAAAGUGCAAACAGCAAAGGGAAAGGGUCAGAGAAAAUCCAUCCGAGUAUAAAUUUACAACUCUCAUGCAUACCUUGAAAAUACACAGUUAUCCACACGUUUACUUUCUAUCAUACCUUUAAUCUAAUUAUUUAAUAAAUCUCAUUCCUGAGGCUGCUAAAACUUAAAGCCAACAAAUGUGGGUCUUUAAACAGGCCUUGGUUAGCGAGGUUUAUCUGGUUAUUUGUCACAGAGAGAAUGCUUUAAAGUUCACCCAGAGGCUGCACCUUGUCUUCUUACUGGAUGUCUGUUAGCCAUUUUUGUUACUUGUCAAAGGUUAGUCUUUCUCAGAAAUGAAUAUGGCCUUUGGGCGAGGAAUCCUACUUGAAUCAGUCUGAAGGAAAAAGGAGGUGUCCUGUCGGCAGUUUAGAGGAAUGAACUUAGAUCUGACAUGUGCUUUACCAAGUUGAUAUAAAUUGUUAGCCUUUUACUUGUCAUAUCUACAGACUCAGAAUAGGGGUGUGUUAGAUUAAAGAGGACUCUGCAACCCAGAGGGAUCAUCGUAUCAGCACAUUCUCUUGACAUCCAUUGUAUGCCCACAAAUGGAUGCAUGGUAACACUGUACAUAAUGCACAGGCCAAGUCCUUGGAUGCAGACUACAGGCAACAACCGGCCCGUCCACACUGCACCAUGAAUGAACUGCAUUACUCAGCUGUCUUGGAAAGACAAUAGUAUAAUUCAAAAGGGAUCCUGAGUUCACAGUGUUUUGAGAUAAAAUGUGUAUGAUAAACCUUGGUUUGAAUAACUCAAGGAUCUCACAGACCCACUGUAAAGAGAAUUAGUAUUUAGUGACCCAUUGGUUUCCAAGUUAUUAAGGUUACAAGAUUGGUGAAUCAGAGGCACAGCUGAUGCGACUAACAGGUGGACAAAUCGUUCCUAUAUGCAAGAUAGGUUGAGUCAGCAAUGCAAACAUGGCAACUGCCGCCAAUAGGCUUCAAAACUCUGCUUUAUGGGCGACCUCACUUACGCUAAAGCCAAUUAUUAAACAAUGUGUGAUGUUUUCUCAUCAUGCCAGAUGUGCUAGAUUACACACCUAGACAUUGUGGCACUCUCUGAGGUUACUCUUGUUUUAAUGCUUCGAUCAAGACUGACAGCAACAGCGACUGAAACAUCGCUGGGAUCCCUUGUUUGUUGUCCUCACUGCUGAUCACUCUGUCAUACUGGCUCAGCCGCUACACUGCCUCUGCUGUUUUUAUACACACUGCACCUCACAUCUGCGUUGCACAUGAAUGGUUAACAGUAAGUAAGGUGAUGACAUUUUUACAGCAGAAUCAGCCUGCAUGAGUACAAUGAUGUAUGUUUAAACGUUCAGUUAAGGCUCGAUUAGUUGAUGAUUUCUUCAUCUCUUUGUUCAACUGUGUUUUCACUUUAAAGAAUGUCACUCUUCAAUCUAACUGUAAAGUGAAAUUCAUCUUUAGUCAUCUGAUUACAAACUGAAUGCAACCUUGGAAACAACAUAUAGUGAUCAGAUGACUAGAAGUCUGAUCUAUGUCAACAUCCUUGUUCAAUGUCAGUUCUACAUGGCACAAGCAGCACACACACACAUAAAUUCUAUCCAAAAAAGUAUAAACAGUCUUUCUUUUUUCUUUGAGCAAAUUUUUCUUUAAUUGGGUAGUAGUCAAUUUUAGUCAGAACUUGGCAAAAUAAUUUCAAUAAUGAACAUGAUAAAGAAUGGUGAUAAAAAUCAAGAUCGUAAUUCAGCUGCACAAAAACGGUGGGAAGAUAUUUUUGCUACAUCCUCUACUCCUUAAUCUGAAUUAUUACAGUGUGCUGUUGAUAUUUAAGCUCUCCUCUUCAGGCCCAGAGCUAAGAUUUAUAUUUUAAAUGUCUGAUGGCAGCUCAACAGUUCGCUGAUAUGUCUACAAGCCAAAGAGUGAGCUUUUCGUCCCCCAUACCUUCAUUGCAGAUAUGUGUAAAAAUGUCAAAUUCUUGAUAAUAGGAAAAUCUGCUCUUUCCGUACAUGCAGCCCACCAGGAAAUUUGGGAGGAUUUUCAAAAGUGCAUGGGUGAAAACCAGCACCACCAUCUCACACAAUGACUAAGGACAGACGGACAAAGACACAAUUGCUGUGUUUUAUUUAACCAACAUGAAAACACCUAGAAACUAGGAACUACUUUUAUUGUGUGUGUUACGUUACUUAAAGGUUACAACAUGCUUGACUUGAAUUUUAAAACUUGGAGAGAAUAUUGUUGUAAACUGCUCUUGAAUAUUUUUUACCUUCAACAGCAGGGUACUUCAGUUUUUUUCUAUUGAACAGUCCUGAAGUGUUUUCUCUGCAUUGGUUUUCAGAAAGUAAUGCUAUGAAUAACAGUAAAACCAUCAAACUUAAUAGAUGCCAAGGUCUUCAACUCCUUAAACUUUAUAAAUCCAAGUAAAAGAAUCAAAUGUUUGUAUCAUGAUACUUUGAUGUUGUAGAUUUACUGAACUAAAAGACCAAAACAGUGGGACUUUUUGUGUGUUUCUUUGGAGAGUGUUAAGGGAGUUCUCAUCAGGGCAGUAGGACAGACAUAAUCUGAGUGUCUCAUGCAGUCAUCAUACUUUUCUUGCUUUACAUUUUUAGAUUUUCCUUGUCUGACCUACAGCAGGCUCACAAAGAAGAAUAGUCUUUAGGGAAAUACUCUGACAUAUGGAAAUUAAUCUUGUAUGGCAGGACGCCUGUGACAAAUUACUAUUGCCCUGAUAUCUAUUUAAAAAGUUUACCCGUCAUGUCACUGCGCUGAACCUAAAAAAAAAAUCAGAGUUGCUCAUAAACACAGCAGUCUCCCUGAGCGGUAAAAUUAGUCAUUAAAAUGCUUGGAGAGUAGUUUGGGGAACAGUCUCACAUGCUGUUGAACCAGUCCAUGUGAAUAAUAAAAACAUCUAAAAACCAGGGAACCUGUUUCCACUCAAAGGGAAGCUUAAACUAGUCAUUUAAAAGGCCUAUUUAACUGUUAUUAUUAUUAAGGAAGAUGUUUUAGGUGUGUAAACUAUCAGGUAGUAAAAUUACUGCUUCUUGGAUUCACAACAAAGUAUCUCAUGUUGCCUCACUAUACUAAAAAAAUCACCAUUAAAUCCAAUCAGAGGAAAGGCAUGAAACUAAGUACACUUUCUGAGGAACUUUUCGGUUCCCACACAUGCUCAAUUUGCACAAAUGAGGCAUACACUAAGCUCCCGAAAAGAAGAAAUAAUUGCCCAAACAAAGAGAAGGAAAAAAACAUCCAAAAAGCAGCAGUAACAACCAAGAAGUAUGUGCUUUAGCCCUUAGACCGUAAAUGUAUUGGGGUAGUGAGAGUGGUAUCAGGCUCACCAUGGCUGAUUACAUAGCUUAAUGGUCUUGGCUUCACCUCAUGUUUUACAAGCCCAAAUGGUCCCAGUGGUCUGAUAAAUCAUCGGCAUAUCGAGUCAAACUGCUCCAAUGAACUGUUGCCAUUCCCAGGUUCCUAACUGACAUACAGCAGGCCAAUAUAAAUACCCCUCUUCCUGUAAUGGUCACAUUUUUUAAAAGACUAUUUUUGCCUCUUUCUUUUAUUAUGGUGAGCUUUGUGAAACAUUGUUCUUAGCUUGAAAUCCUAUCUUUUGAUGCUGGGGACAGGGUAUCAAAACAGAAGGGGGAAAAAAAGAAAUAAAAAAAUAAAAAACAGUACAGCUCUGCUCAGACUGUGUUUUUUUUUUUUUUUCCAGCACAAUGCAUUGCCAAGAAAACGUCGAGUGCUCUACAGGUGGUCUGUGUGGGGGAAUGAAGCUGUGAAAAGGUUACCGCUGACAGCUCUGCACACAGCUCUUUAUGUGAACAGUCUUCCUGUCUGAGCACCCCUCUCAUGCUAAAUGCUAUCAGGAAAUGUAAACAUGUUCUGCGGCAGGUAUUUUCAUUGGCUUCAUUUAAGUAGAUGGUGUUACUUAGCCCUUGACCGCCUUCUCUUUCAGGCCUCAUUUGAUCAUUUAAACUUCAUACAUGUAGCUUUGAAACAUACUCUCUAUAGGUAUUCCCCAGGCUAGAAUAAAAGUUUAAAAACUGCUAUAAUAAUAACCAAAAAAUGCCAAAUAUGAACUUAACAUGCAGCUUUCAAACGAGAUCUGUUAAAAAUCCAAUAUUCUUAUGAAUAUUAUCCUGUUCUGUUCAUUUGAGAUUUUAUAGCAAUUUCAUUAAGUCAGUCGCUUAAUUUUAUUUGUAUAUCAGGGGACCACCAAAUCCACUGCAGAUUAUAAUGUGUAAACUAAGAGUAAGCGUUUAAAGCAAUGGUGCUGUGCCUUUGUAGAUUUGAUGCAAUAGCAGAAUAGAAAUUUGAUAUGUGUCAAAAGCUUUGAUUACAUUUUACAGUGUAGCUAGAGCUCAAACUUUAAAGAUAAAUGUAACAGUUUGAAUAAUAUUUAUGUAUAUGAACACACACACAUACACACACUCACACACAUUCUGUGGAGUGAAAAUGCUGCGAUAAAAACAAGGGCUAAACUGGCUUGAUUAACUGGAAGCAAGUACCGAAAAUUCAGAUUUUCCCUUUGAUUCAAAUCUGAUCUUAAUUAGACACACAAAGAGAAAAAACUAACCAACAAAUGGAUGUGGGGCUUGUGAAUGAGCAUGGCAGCUUGGGGUGCAUGGUUUAAGUUUAAUGGAUUUACAUGAGUUAUGAUUCAUCAGCAAAACACUGAAUCACCAUAUUUAGAUGCUAAGUUUCUUCGUGAUUACUUUCAGGGACUUAUAAUCCAAGAAAUGCUUGCUUUCCAAAUGCGGCAGUGUCAGUGCCAAAUCAUCUUAUUGUGAGGUGGCAAAGACGACUCUGAAACUGAAGGACUUUCAUGUAGACAGACCAUGAAUCAGCUCCCAAUGCCAAGAGAUAGCGGGCGAUAUGACAGCUUUUUAUUCGCAGUUGACUGCAAUGUUCUUUGGCUCUGCAGAGACUAAAUACCCUGUGCAUGAAGAGCCAGAGGGUUUUUAACCAGGUCAAGUGACUAACUUUGAGGUCUGCAAAUAUUAUUUGAUCAUUAUUGUCUAGAGAUUUAACAUUUUGGCAUUAAAUACUAUGAGUAUUUACUGUACUGAAAACAUGGUAGGAAUAGAUGUGAUCCAGGCCAUUUUUACGGUUACAAGUCCAUUGUCUGCACACGCAAAAAUAUAAUGCUGCAGUGAAGUUUAAAGUGUUUUUCGAAAUGAUGGAGAGGGAUUUAAAGACAACCAUGACUUCGCUUCAAGCUUCAUGAGUGUAAAUAUAAAGUCCCUCUGAAGAAAGCAGAAAGAAAUUUAAGCCUCCAUUAAAGAUUUGUUUGUUGCAAUAUGGACUUACUGGGCUCUACAAGCUUUACCUACAGUGAAAGAGGGUGUUGCAUUUCAAACGAUUCAGCUUAUGCUGUUCGGAGGGUCUUUUUUAUCUGCUCUGAGUAAAUAAAUAAAGUAUAAGCAUAUUUCAAAGACCUUUGUAAAGUGAGGCAAAAGAAGAAUGAAAAAUAGACAAGUUUGCGCAAAACACAGACAUAAACAAAAGGUAUGAAAUUAUUAAUAAACAUACCAGGGAGAGCAAGCGAGUUUUUUAGUGAACUGGAAUACAUAAGAGGAAUCAUCGAGGCCAUGAGAAAUCGCACGGGUGCAGAGGCAAAGUAACAUAAUUUUGCAGAAUGGCCGAAGGCGAAGGAGGCAGAAAAUGUGCAGUCUAAUUCUGAGCUUGAAUCUGAGAGAAUCAAGACCAAUUUUAAUGAUAUGUAAUUAAGGCCUAAACAAAUUUUCCCCAAAGGAUACGAUUAAUGGGGAACUUAUUACAGGCUAUGGCACCCAAGGGGGUAAUACAUUCAUACUAAUCUCAUGGCUGUCAGCCUAGGGGCUUCACUGCAAUUGAAAUGCCUUCAUAUUAAGGGCAAGAACAGACAGGAGGUAGAGUGUCCAGGGAGUUAAAAUAAGAGGUAGGAUAAAUUUGCAGCAGUGUUGCUUAAAAAGUCAAAACAAAUCAAUGUCAGGAACAACACAACUUGCAAUAGGUGCAUUUUGCAUACUGUUUCAUUAUACACCCAUGAAUUUACAAGGACAAGUGUGGGCUUUCAUAUUGCUUUACAAAAACAUGACCACGGAUCAAAACACAAAACAGUUAACGAGAAAAAUCGAGAUGCAUAUUACUGGAAACAGGCCUGCAUGUUGUGCAUUUAUUGCCUGCAUCUUGUGUUUGUUGGCACACGUGGGAAUGGGAGCGCUAGGAAAAACCCUAGAAACCUGAGGACAGACAGAAUCAUAACAUCAAUUGAGUCUGGGCACAUUUAGCAGCGUUACAUUCCAUAUAAUGAUUAGGUAUCAGCAGGGUAUGACAAAUCACCACUUUUGGCAUUGUGGUUGCAUUAAUUGCUUGCACACAACCAGCUCCAUUACCCCAGCUGGGCGGAGUUAAAAGCGUGCAAAUAAAAAGUGCCUCUCAAAUCUUUCAGUCUGCAGACAAACUGGAGACAGUGGCAUUGACAAAAAAGUUAAUGUCAGAAGAAGGCCAGUGAUUGAUGACUCUCUACCUGAAAGCUGGGAGUGUGUCUAAAGCAAUGAAACACCCCUCACAUGGAGAACAGAGUACAUAGAACGCAAUCGGAUAGCAGGGAUAAAUGGUUUUCAUGUUGUACUGUGGGUCAAUUGAGCCAGAGGAAUCUCAGCUAAGAAUGUAAAGGAUCUUUAUCCUCUAAAUGUACAUUCAUUCAUUCAUAUGCAAUAAUGACAAAAAAAUGUUGUCUUUUUGAAGAACUUCUUUUUUCUACUUCAUCACAACGCUCAUUUAAUAGAGAUGAACAUCUCAUCCAUAUACACUAGUUCAGUGCCCCUGUUAAGUGGAUAAAGUGGCAGAAAACACUUCAGUUUAAUAACCCCUGAGUGAGAGAAGUCUCAAAUCAAAAGUGCAAUAAUUAGCAAGAGUUUCCAUAAGCUAGCAUGAAGUCAUUAAAAUGUUCACUGGUGGUGAGGUAGGCAGCGGUUGGUAAAAAUAUUUUUGAUAAGUUUCACUAAUGAAAUAAAAAGACUUCCAGCAUCUGUGACAGUCACUUGAUAAAGAUUCAAAAGUUAAUUUAAUCCUUUUCUUGUUUUGAACACUGACUCUUUCAAGCACUCGAAGAAAAAAAAAGAAUACGAUUGUAUUGGAAAUGUCUAAUGUUGAUGCAGAUGUUUCUCAUUUUAUUGCCAUUCAUGCCUUAAAUAUAUCUCCCCCUUGAAAAAUAUAUAUGAAUUUUGCAAGAAUAAAGAAAAUCAUAGAAUAUAUCUCAGAAUGAAACACAUAUGCAGCUUUUACUCAAAUUAGGUAUUUUUUUGCCCUUAAGUGUCAACACAUGACAGUCACACUUACUGAACUGUCCAUUUCUAAAACACUUGCUGUCAGUUUGGGUUGAUUUUGGCGCCCCCUGUGGACAAAGUUAUAGCUCUCAGUUCUUUCCUUAUUUUUCCCUGUGCGUUUUUUAAUGAUAUCUUGUUAAAAAAAAAAAGAAAAGAAAAGAAAAAGAAAGAAAGACAGAAAGAAACCCUGCUUCAUUUAACACAUUUAUGUAUGACUCAUUUAAAAUCUUUGCCUUGGGGAAUGUAAAAGGAAGACCGCUAUUUCUGAGGUAUGCAAUUUACCACGUAAGCCGACACCAACCCACACCACUCGAUACAGACAUUGAAAAUGAUAGAAAUAAUCUCUCUUUAUGGGAUGGCCUUGUUUACUUGUGUAGGCCAACACAAGAGCUUUAAGAGAAGACUGUGCAAACAAUAAGAACAGGCAUUGCAAAGCUUGUGUUGGAGUAACUGUAAACACCGCCGUAGUUAUUGGUAACUUAAACAAUAGCAGAACAGAAUAAGUACUGAACUAAUUACAGAGCUUACAACAUUCAAUGUAACCCCAGCCAAUUAACCUUGCAGAGAUCUCUGUAAAUGUUUCCUGCUGCUCAACGAGCUCUUGCACAAUCCGUCCAUACAUCCUGUUGUUGUUUGCAUUAUUGUCAGAAAUGCUUCGUUUCCAACUCAGAGAAACACUGCCUGUAUUAUCAACAAACAAAUUGCCCUACAGUUCAGUACGAAGGCUGCAAAGUAGAUGCGCAUGGUUUAACUGGCCUCCUAAACAUCAGGCUAAUGGGCUAAAUUGCUUUCAGAUUGAAUGACCAGCUUCGGCUGAGGAAGUGAAAAGAAAAAAAAAAUAGCUAGAUGAGAUGAUGGUGGAGACGUGUAUUUGAAUUUGUCUGCACUACAGUUACCCAUUUAAUAACAUUAUACAGGUUAAACUCAAGUUGUUUACCAGUAACUGAUAACACCAACAUGUGGCGACCUACUCUCUUUAAUGUGUGAAUGUCCCUGGCUUAAGAAAAGGGAAUACUGACUACAUUUUAAAUAAUUGGAAACACACUUACAGAAACACACACAGUACAAAGGAAUGAAAAUAUCAUCCGAGGGCUCUAUGUAUACCAGCAUGUAUGUAAUCCUCUGACAAUUGCCUGUGGAGGUGGAACAACAUCAUAAGGAGGCUAAGAUGAUACUGUAUAUCCCCACUCCUUGACUUUGCCUUGUUUUUGAAGAUACCGUGAGAUGAAAACUACAAGUGUAACAGUGUAUGGUGGUAUUUGAACCCUCGGAAAUGGGCAGAAAAAUAAAGAGAGCUGGAAUUUGCCCUCUUAGAUGUGACUGUUUUGGUAGCGGAGGAAACUCCCAGAGCUGGACAAGUUGAUCAAAACCAAGACAAAACAACUAAUGAAUGGGGUUUUCUGGAACUAUACCUUGAUGGAGCAACUAUACUGGUAAGACUCACACCAGUGAGAAGAAAACAAGGCAAUAAUACUGAGAAAAAUCAAGAGGUAUCCUUUGUUGGUCUCACCACAAUCCUCAAACAUCUUUGUCUCCGGCUGGCAGGACACGCUGGCCUCUUUCUUGCUAAUGUGUUUUCCUCUGCCUUUUGUGACGGACCCAGCAUCUGUGUCAAAUUAUGCCCACAAAAUCUAAGCAGAAGUGGCUGCGUCGGCAUUGUAUUUAAGAUGGAGGUUUACUUUGCAGAGCACUUUGCAUAUUCCCAUGAAGCCCUUAGAGUGAACCCUGGAGCCGGAGCCAGCCCAAUCAGAAAACACCUCAUAACAUUCACUGACAGUAAUCAGAGGGAUAUGUUGCAAUCACUGCUACACAGCGAGAGUCCUGCUCGCAGGGAGCAGCAUGAGGUCCUGCUACUGCACAGCGAGAUGCUCCCCCUCCACUGUCAAAAUCAAUGCUUUUAGACUUACUUAUUAAUAAAUAUGGCCAAUUACGGUGCAGAAACUAUUUGCCAACAUUCUGAAUCAAGUUGCUCUUUAAUAGUGCACCAACACUACAGUUGUUGUGACACAUCUUAACACAUUAAAUAAUCACAGAUUAACAUCACGCAAUACUUCCCCUGUUUUUACAACAACUCGCUGAAGAAUCAAGUGAAGUUACGAAACCCAGUUUUGCAGUUGAAUUUGGGUUUCAGUGUCAAAGCUCAUCAUUUUAUAUCUUGUUGUUAAAAAACAAUAAAAAAUGUAAUACUUGAUAUUUCAUGAUUUGAAUGUUGUGUAACUGCUCUGACACUUUGGUACAUUUAUUGGUAAUGUGCUCAAAGCCUUUCAGGCUGGCACAGUCAGCAAGAGAAAUGUUAGUUCUUCAUUCUGUCUUAUUCCUGGAAAUGUUUGUCUCCAAGCUGCUACUUCAAACUCAAUCAUUUAAUAAUUCUUAGAAGUGUCCCUGUAGCGAUUUACACACACGGAUAUCAUAAAAAAAAAGAAUAACAAAAGGCCGGGUGUUUCAUCAACUGUCUGUCUUUCUGCUCAGAGAGACAGGCUCAUCUGUCUCUCACCAGAUCCCUUUCCGAGUGCCAGCAGAGAGGAAUAACAAGCGGCUAAGUAUUUUCUUCUGUUUGACCCAUGACAUGUGGCUCCCAGGCUGAAAUGAAGCCAAAGAAGAGGGAAAUCUCCAGGCCGGAGCACCAAAACAUUGUCCUGUCAGCACACUGCUUGUCUGAGGAGUCCCUGGCUUGUCAGCAAGGAGUUUGGGAGCUGAUGUUUUUUGGCUUCCACUUUAAAAAGGAGAUAAAGAUUGACUGUUUUCUUUCUCUUUUUUUUCUUUUUGUCUGGUGAUCUCCUGACCCUGAUCUGUGGGCAGACACUGUUUCUUUUGUCUGUCAUCUGGAAAAAACUGUUCGGUGAUUUAAGAUGUGUGAAAAGAUUUUGGUUUUUGUUGCAUUAGAUAAAGAAGCACAGGGUAAGGCUGGUGAUUAUUACCGCAAUUAAGAUUCAACUGAGAUCUUUAACCGUCGUCUGUGAUUGCUGAGUUUUAAAUAACUGAGUGCCCCUCUCUGCAAACCUUAACAAUAUCAUCUUUUACACUAAAAUACUGCUUUAAAACCCCCAAAUGGACCCAUUGCUGAAGAUGUUGGAUUUACAAAGAUAAAGGUAAGUUCUUUAACAUUGUGUCAUUGUAUAUGAGAUGGUUUGAUUUCACAGCUGCCACUUUCACUCACAGAAUAAGAACACCAAUCUGAGAUAAAUGAAGCAAAUCAUUGCUGUGUAAUGUUUUUCCAAAGUGUGAAAUCUGUAACCAACAUGGUUAUGAUUAAUUCUCCGAACAUAAUUGUUACAGCAUGUCACAGUCUUUUAUAACUACAUUUUUAUUUAUAUGAGCAGUGGAAACAAUCAAAUUAUUUCCUAAACAAAAACAUGAGGACAGAAUCAGCAUUUGGAAUCAAUAAGCCUGUUUAUAAGCAUUUCUGGUUUAAUGCUCUAAGUAUUAUUUCAGGCAGUGUUACAGAUACUCCCACACAUUACAAACAAAUCACCCCACAGGAAUUCAUGACAAAUGCCUUAAUUGUUUCAAAUAGCAGUGGCCAGAGAAAUAAAGAAACAGAAAACACACAUACACGCUGGAGCUCAUAGCCAUUAUUCAUAACAGAGGAAUAAAGAUGCUGUUUUAAUGUGACACUGUACCCUCAUGAGAUUUGGCUAACUACAAUGAUUCCUGGAAUUGUUCUUGAAUGUAGAGCUUUUCUUACUCACUGAUAUUAUUCAAAAAGCUAAAUCCAUGAUAAUAGAUGAUACUGAGAAUGAUUCUAAAAUUGCAUGCAGCUUCACACAGAAUAGGAAUAUAAGGACGCCUGGCGACUUCCGGCGCUGGACAAACGACAGCCUUUUACAGCAACUCUGCGAACUCUAAGGAGUUUUAUCCUCUUUUUUCUAUUUCUUUUGCGUCUUUUUUCUCUAAUUCAUUUUACUGCACUAAGGAGCUCCAUAAGGGACAGGAUGCAUAUUCCAUGUAUAUAGUCAUAUCUAAAAUUUUCCAACUGUGAUAUUUAAACAUGUACAUAUAUCUUAUAUUUAACUCCUACAUUUCUUCAUCUUUUAAUUUCUCUUUUGUAUUCAUCAUUGCUGUAAAUUUGGAAUUUCCCCCUGUGGGACUAAUAAAGGAAUAUCUUAUCUUAUGCCUAAAGAGCACCAAAACAUCUCUAAAUUAAGACACAAACAUGCACAAAGAUAUUUUUUUUCUUAUUUUUCUGCUUCCCCUGUUGUAAUCGAAAGCUACAGGUCAACCUUACAUGUAACUACAAAAGUCCUCAAGGCUCUUUUCAGUAUAGCAGGAAUCUUUUCAGAGGUAUGGAAAGCUUAUGAGGUGAAUAAGCAUGCUGUAUGUCAAGCUUGUAACUGUACUGUAAUAGGCAUGUCUGCAUCGGCGGGACUUUGUGCAGCAACCAGCGAUGUCACAGUUUGACAAUUCAUAAGGGCCAUACACUCAGGCUGUGUCACGCACUGUUGUGUCAUUAGAUGCCUGUAGCAAACAGUGGACACGGCAUACAGACAGAAUAAUAGCAGCUGUAUAAUAAGUAGAUGCGAGUUUCUAGGGAGCUGUGUGUGAUAAAAUGACUACUUUUGUGGAGAGCUGAUGCAUGGUGGUGUUGGGAAAUAAGAGUGUCAAAUCCUGACGUGUGUGACAUGCAUCAACUUGGUGUGACACGUCAUGAAGCCAGGAAAAUAACAGAACAUGCAGAUGUUUUGACACAUGUCACAUGCUGCCCAGGUGUGUUGCCCCUUAGAGGAUGCAAAAUUUUUACUGAACUCCUCCAGGUUAUAUAUAUAUGCCAGAGAAUACCAAAGAAAGAAAGCAAAAACUCAAAGUAUCCGAAAUAGUCAAGGGACAGAUUGAGCCUCAAAGCCUCUUAACUAUGUGACUUGUGAGUGGCCUGAGUACCGGCUUUAACAGCUAAGUGAGACCACUUUGUCACAGUCCUUGGUAUAAUUUACCCAUUUCAGCUGCUGUUAUUAUCACCCUGUCUUGAGCAGUCACUGAAGGCAAAGGAAGACACCGUUUCAAAUGCUGGACAUUUUAUCAUUAAUCGCCAGCUAGAGAGUGAACCGGGGAGAAAAUGAAACUGAAGUGAGAGAAGGGAGCUGGUGAGAAGGGGAAAUAAGACACAGGCUCUUUUUCCAUUUCAUUCCAGUCCAUUUCACAAACAUCCACAUUUGAAAUGUGGAGUGAAGGCAAGAGCUCGGUGCAACAUCCAUCCACACAGCAUUAGGAAUUAACUCUAGAAACAAGAGAUCGUAAAAAGAUGGGCAGAGGAUGACAAGAAGCCAUUGUCAGGGACACUAGAAUCAACGUGAGUGCAGCACCAUUCUUCUGUGUGCACAGAGGUGAGGUGAGGGUUAUGAUUUGUACUUGAUCGUCGAUACAUUGCUGAAGGUGUUUGAGGGAAAGGUUAUGUACAUGGGUGUAAUGUUUAUGCCAAAUGUAUUCUACAACCUUUUGUAUUUUUUAUUCUGCUGUGGUUUUUCUUUUGCAAAGGCAAGUUCAGAUGCAUUUUGAAUUCCAGUAGCUACCAUUGAAAUGCAUUGUGUGUGUUUGUGUUUGUGUGUGUGUCAGUGGCAUGGAGAAAGGCAGGUGUAUGGCAGGAACCCAAGGUGACAGUUGAAAAAAAAAAAACAUGCAAAUGUGUUGCCAACUACCAGGGACGGCAAGCAAGGUCACAGUAUUUCUAUUUUUAUUCUGAACAAGUGAAUCAACCUAACAAACAAAAUUCUGAGAUAUUUGCCAAUUUCAAAAUUAUACCUCGUUUUCAGGGAAAUUACUUUUAAUUGUGUUUUCCUUCAAACAUACAGUAAGUCCAUGAAAAAGCCCCUACAUGUAUAAAUGCUUAGAUAUAGCAGUAGUUUCAAAGAAAAGCUUGACGUUACAGUCUGUGGGGCAUUAACCAUUAAUCUUAAAUUAGUGUAAAUUAAUGGCUGUAGUGAAUAUUUAAACAACAUGUGCUCUACAUUCGACAAAAACUGAAUUCACACUUGGGCCUGCUUCCACUAUUAUAUCAGCUUCACAACCUUGAGCUUGUGCACAAUGAAUCAUCUCAAACUGUUUUGACGAGAGAAAUAAAUGACCGGGGUCAAAGGUCACUGGCUUUGAGGUAGGCAGAGAGGAUAAAACUGCACGGGUCGUAGAACACAACCAACACUCAGCUGCUUGAGGACAAGAGGAAGAACGAGAACAAAGUGUUCUUGGCUCUGGCAGUGCACUGUUAUUAAAAUAUGUCUGUCCAAGAGAACUGCAUGCUGUCUGUGAAAAGAAGAAGAAGAAAAAAAAGAUCCUUUGGGUCCGAGAGCCGAUUCUCCGACACUGUUUCUGUCAGGGAGGCAGAUGAGAGUGUCAGUGCUAAAUUCACAGCGCUGCCAUUUCCUUUUCAGGUUUUAUUUUGGAAUCUGCUCCAGAAUUAUUGUCAGUGGUGUCAGUUGAGUGUUUGUUUUGGUGAUUCGCCAACAGUAUCCAAAAGCGUGUCUGAGAAAAAAAUGGAAAGCAUCACCAAGGAGGACAAAGCAUAACUCCACUAAGCCUUAAGGGUCCCUCAGGCCAUCUUUUAAGGAGGCUGGAGGGUGAAUAUAGCUGUGUACACUCCGCUUGUGACUCCUGUGUCUCCCACUUGGUCGAAAUGGCUGACUAGAUGCUAAUAAGCUUGCUCUGUCAUGCUUAGACUGUCAGACCUGGUGCAACUGCAUGUUAAGAUAAAAAGCCUACAUUUGGCAAUGCUGAAUCCCAAAGGUCCAAGGUCCCACUUAUGUUUUAGCAUAUAAAUGAGCAAAUGUGAUGCUAAUAUAUUUCUAAAACCUUAGCAGUCCUUUGUCCUUGUUCCUGUAAUAGAGAAACUUCUUUGUUUCUUCUUCUUCUGUGUUUCAGCCUGCAGAUAGCUUUUGUUCAUGGCUGGCUGGCCUUACAUUUUGUGCUUGGUGAUUGGCAGUGUCCAGCAGGCCAGUUCCUUGAAGACUACCCCUGUACUGUCUAGAGGUCCUCUGCUAUUGAUUUCCUGCUCGCGCUCGCUGCUUGACCUGCCAAUCAAUGGUCAGAACAGUGGGACGUCAUUGGGAGCAAGUUGACGACGUGUGAUGCUUGGCAGACAUGUAACUGAUGGCACUGAACAAGCUAAACAUAUUAGAAGGAAGGGGAGAGACAGAGACACCCUGCCCGCAAAGGGAGCACACACUACUGCUCCUGUUUUUGUUACAGACAGAAAACCUGAAGUUAAUUUUAAAUUAAAAAGCAGUGAGGGGCUUAUACAUUUGGGGGGAGAUGUCUGAGAAAUCCAAUCACUUCGAAGCGAUCACCUCACACAAGGCAAUGAUUCAGUCGUGUUUUUUUUGUUCUCUUUUCUGUAAAUUGCAAGUGAGAGUGACUUACUGUACAAAUUCAGUCCAAGUUACAAGUGAUUAGCUGUGAAGAAUAAAUCUUCAGAGAAACUCAUUUGAACUGUGAACAGUGGAGUGGAAACUAUUGAGAGACAUCGCACCCCCAGAGUUGGGCUGUGUGAUUUUGGAGAUGGACUCGAAGGGAGGCCCAGAAUAAAUAAAUAACAUUUUCUUCUAAGGACGGCAGUGUGUGGAUUUCUAAUUCAGUGACUUUGAGGCUGAGAGUGCUCUUUGCUCGACGGCUGACUUCAUGACACACAGGCGACAACAUUCCUCUGGCCGUGAUUAAAAUACUGGGGUCGCCACAUGGAUUGGUUCCAACAAGACAAAGAGGAUUUUUGAAAUUUUCUUUUUGAUUAUGUUUGAUACAACAAAAGCUUCAGUAAUGUUAGUUGGACUUACUGUACAUCAGAAAUGAGAAACAAGUUUGAAAAAAAAAGAAAAAAAACUUUACUUUUUUAGGGCACCAAAAAAAAUGGAUUACGAAAU